AGGCAAUUAGAGUGUAUAUAACCUUGGUGGACGCUUUUAAUUAGAAAAGCACACAUCAUAGCUCUAAAUAAAAUGUUUGAUUAGUUCUUUGUUACCAUUUCUGGCUGGCAUAAUGCAUGAGUAGUAUGCAUAACCCAUUAAUUACCUUUGGUUGAAACAAGUUAAUGUGUGUUGACAAUGAUAAAUCUUAGCCUUUCUUUCUCCAGAUUUCAUUAUUAGAUACAAAAACAUGCAAAUACAUGUAUAAUUUUAGCUUUUGGCCCUUGUAUGUUCUAAAAGAUUCAGAAUAGUGUAAUGCAGCACAUUUUUCUCAUUUGUUGUGCUAAAAAAUUCUUAGACUUUUUUCAAAGAUUUGACGAAAAAGUUAUCUAACGUUGAAUCAAUAUCUUUUAAAAAACAACAAGGAACAUGUCGGCUCUUGUGCUCAUAUAAGGUAUCUAACGUUCCUACACAUCAAAGACUUUUGCUAUCGGUAUUCGGAUUAUCCUCUUAACCACUAUUCAUUUGUGCUAGAGUUCAAAAUUUUAGACACAAAGCUAUUUAAUCAUUGAAAUUAACAUCAACUUUAUAAAGUUAAUUAAUAUAUUUAGUGAAAAGAAUAUAGUAAAAGUUUAUACAUACAUUUUUUGAAGCUUCUUAAUGUAGCGGUAGCCUUUGCAUCAAAUAUAGACUCCAUAAUUCCAGCUUGCUUUUAGCUUUAAACAAGGUCAAACUGAGCAGUUCUAUCCAAUAGUAAAGUUCAUGGUUAGUAGGUGGCCGUGUCACCUGUUGGUUCUCUCUAAGCAGCCGUGACAGCUGGCCCCGCAUGAUGAUUCUUGGAACAAUUAUUUCAAACAAUGCAACUUGCGUUUACCUUGUCCUGAAAAUUUUAAAUUUAGUAAUCAUUCAAUCUCUACCCAAGUCUAAUAAAUAAUUUUUUUAAAAAAGUACAUAAAUAAAUAAAAAAUCAAUAAAAUAAAAUCCUUAAAAACAAAAAACUUAGAUGAAAGGAUAUACAAGCAUCAUAAAAUAAAACCUAUCUGGAUAUUGUACUGUAUCCAGAAAAGUCCUGCUGAAUGACUACUUGUCCGAACCCACCAGCAAUAUUAAAAAAGACUUGUCUGAAAAAGCUUUUAAUUAACAAUAAAAGCCGACCAAAUUUAGUCGUAUAUCUCCUACCAAAACCGCACUUAAGUCUGUCCGUAAACAUCAUAAUAACGUAGACCGCCACACAUAAUGAGGUACACAUCUCGCUCAAGCCACUUAAGCCUACAAACUGGAAUCUCAUGCACACCUCACGAUCCAUAUCCAGCUGACCGAAUUUCGUGGUACACGUCCAACCAAAACCGCACUUAAGUUUAUCCGUAAGCCAGCAUAAUAACGUAGACCGCCACUCAUAAUGAGGUCCACAUCUCGUUCAAGCCACUUAAGCUGACAAAUUGGAACCUCAUGCACACCUCACGAUCCAUAUACAGCAGACCGAAUUUUGUGGUAUAUGUCCAAUCAAAGACGAAACUAAUUAAUUUUUGUUGAGAUUCAAAGAUAAAAAAAUUAAAAAUUAAAAUUUUUUAAAAUUAAUAUGUUGAAUUUAACCAACGAUCAAAAGAUUUAUAAUAGAUAAUAAUUUUAUAUAACAUGUAAGUAAGAAAAUAAAAAAAAUUAUAAUAAUUAUUUAAGAAAGUUAUGCUUGACAAUGUUUUCUAGAUUCAAAUUCAUCAAUUAUUGACUUUGUAUUGAAAAGACUAGCAAUGUCUUUCUCAAUAUAAAUAACUAAAUUAUCUACAAGAAACUCAUCAACCAUUUUGUUCCGGAGUCUUGUUUUCACAAUUUUCAUUACUGAAAAGGCUUUCUCUGUAGUUGCUGUAAAAAUUGAAAUAGUCAAAAUAAGGCGAAUUAAUUUAUCAAUCAAGUGGUAAUUCUUUGACUUUUUUGUUUCUGCUAAUCUCUGACAAAAUUCAGAAAGUAUCUUAAUAUCUUAAAAACUUUGAUAAUGAGGUAUAUAGAACUCGUAAUGCCUCAAUUGUAACCUCAAAAUAAGCUUUUCUUGUUCUGUGAAAUCUUGAAAAUAAAAACUCUCUGCUAACUUGCAGUUAUUAUCAAUAUUGAAUGAUUUGUAAUUGUUAUUAGGAUUCAAAACAGUGCUUAAAGUUAAAAGUUUCAUAGCUUGCUCAUUGAAUUUCGAAUUCAAUUCUUGUAACUGAGUAUCUAUCGUCACUAAGAAUAUAUCAACUCGAUAAUGAUGCUCCACAGUUACAUCUAGUUGACGAGAUCGACCUUUGCCCAAGAUAUAUCGUGCACCCAUGUCAGGAAUUUCUAUCUCAUGUUUUUGACAAAAUUUUUUCACAUUCUCAGAUAAAUUAGACCACCCAUCAUCUCUCAACUUCUGAAGGAGUGAUUUUGUAGUAAAACCAAGAUGAAUUGCAUUUAAAAUAUCUUAAGAGCGUAAUUGUAAUGCUUGGCAAAGAACAUUAGUGAUUCCCAUGAUCUCAUACAUCAAGUGUAAUAUGAAAAUAAAUUUAAAUGAUGCUAAUAUUUUACUAGCAGCAGAAGCAUCACCUCUUUGUGAAUAACUGGCCCCUUCAUCAAUAAUACUUUUCACAACAGUGCAAGUUGCAUCAAACAUUCUCAUCAAGCUAUAAAUAGAAUGAAAGUGUGAGCUCCAUCGAGUAUCUCCAGCUCUUUGUAGAGUUCCCACUUAAUUUGCUCCUCUACCUGUGUCAAGUUCAUCACUAGCAAUCAUGUUUGCAAUGUCAAUUGCUUGAGCAGCUUGUAAUUGGUCAUGUCGUUUGGAAGAAGCAUUAACAAUAUUUACAAUAGAAAUCAACUAUGUAAAAAAUUCAUGAAUAUGAACUACUCCUCUAAAUGCUGCAACCAAAGUUAAUUGUAAUCUAUGAGUAUAACAAUGCACAUAAUAUGCGUAUGGACAAUCAUUAAGCACCAAAGCUUGUAAACCAUUCCAUUCACCACGCAUGUUACUAGCACCAUCAUAUCCUUGACUUCGAAUACUUUCAACUUGAAGGUUAUAACGAGAAAGAACAGACACUAACUCUUUCUUCGAAGUCAUUGCACUGGUAUCACUAACAUGUACAAGAUCAAAGAAACGUUUUUGAACAAAACCAUCACCAUCAACAAAUCUCAAAAUAAUAGCCAUUUGCUCUAUUUUAAACUCAUCUCGAGCUUCAUCAAUAAUAAUACAAAACUUAGCAUUUCCCACUUCCUCUCUAAUCGAAUUUCUCACCAUAUUAGCCAAAAUAUGUAAAAUUUCCUUUUGAACAUCAUUGGAUGUGUACUUAGUAACACGUGGAGCAUUUUCCAAGACAAGCUUAUGAAAUUUGUCAUUGUAAGAUCCUAAAAAUUUCAGCAUUCAAUGAAAUUUCCUCUAUUUUUUGAGGAUGGACUUUCAUCAUGACCUCUAAAUGCACAAGCUUGAAAAGUUAACCAUCUAACACAAUCUAUAGAAGCUUUGAGCUUAAGCCGAUUAUUCAAGAUCUCUUCUGAUGCUUGUCUUUUGAUAAGCCUAUCAAUACGUUGGGAUUUCUUAAAUAAAUCCUCACAAGAUUUUAUAGCAACAUUGUGUGGGGAAUUUGGAUUUUUCCCAACAUGAUUCAAAAGUGAACAAUUUUCUCCACUAUUUACUUUCUUCCAACUUCUGAAACCCUUUUCAAUAAAUGCAUUUGAACCUAGAUGAUUCGAGGUGUUCUUAUGAAAAAAGUAGCAUGACAAACAAAAUAUAGCAUCUUUGUCACAAGAAUACUCUAACCAAGAAAGAUAUAAUUCAAACCAAGAAGCUUGAAAACGACAAGGAUGAUCAUCAUCUGAUAGAGGACACGUCUUAAGAAUGAGUUGACAUGGCCCACUUUUGAGAUAAGCACGACGAAUUUCAUCCCUUUGAUUGAUAGGAAAUUCCCAUAUCAUUGGUCAUAAUCCAGGGUCAGGUUCUAUAUGAAAAGCAUCAAUUCUUCAAGAUUGAGCCUUGGACGCUUUGAUUCGCACUGCUUUUGUUCAUGAGUUGAAGUAUUAAGGUUUGGUGGCUCAAGCAUAGGAGAAUCAUUUGAGCGAUCUACCUCUUUUCUUUUAAAAAAAAUUGUCAAUUGUUUUCAACUUAUUCAUAUUUUAAUCAAAUCUGAAAAAAAAAACAAUGUAGUCAAUAUUCAAUAUUUUUAUUUAUUUAUAUUUAAACUUAAAAUAUUAAAUAUAAAACUAUAAUGCAUAAAAUGUAAAUAGUUAAAUAUGAUAUACAGGAUUUCACAGAAUGGUUAAAUGUAUAAAUAGUUAAAUAAUAUAAAUAAAAGGAAGAAGAUUAAAAACAAAAACUUUUCCUCCUCUUAAUUUUACACAAUGGUGGUGGGUGAUCUCUAUCUUUCUUUGUCCAAACUCACAAGCUCAUAAAUCUCUUUUUAAGAAUAAAGUGUGUUUUAAUGGUAAGUUACAAGAAAGAGUAAAGUAAAAAUAAAAAGAUAAAAGAGAAGAGAAAAGAAAAAAGAGAAAUAGGUGUAGAGAAACUUAAAUUAGGGUAAAGUUAAAGCAGGUUUGUGAGGUUGUUUGAUUUUUUUAUUUAUAUUAAUUAUUAAAUAAAAAAUUUAUUUUGAGUGAGCCAUUAAUAAUAUAUAAUAAAUAAAAUUUUCCAAAAAUUUUUGAGGGCCUAUUGAUGAAAUAUAUAUAAAAAAUAAAUAUUUUUAAAACCCAUUGUUGGCUUACCCUCCGCCCCCGAAUCAAAACCGCACUUAAGUUUGUCCGUAAAUCAUCAUAAUAACGUAGACCGCCACUCUUAAUGACGUCCACAUCUGGUUCAAGCCACUUAAGCGUACAAACUUGAACCUCAUGCGCACCUCACGAUCCAUGUCCAGAUGAUUCAAAACCGAUCGGCACACUCCAAGGCAAAAUCAAACUCUUACCCAAUAGAAAAUCUAUUGUGAUUAAAACUCAUAAUUAUAAAUAAUAAAUGAAUAUUUGUAUUGUAAAAAAAAUAAUAGAAACAGGAAAGAAAGAGAGAUGAGAGAAUGUUUUUUAUGUACUACUGAAGUAAUGUUUGGUAUGAAAAAUAUCUAGGUGGGGUGACCUAUGAAAUUGCUUACAAAUCAAUACUUAUUACUGUCGUAACGUGCGGGUCUGAGAACCCAACCGCUAGACGUCGACGAAAAUAAAGUGGUUUAGGAGUCGCCACCAAUCGUCUUAUAUCUAGGUGCGAUUGGACACCUAUUAACCCGAUUCUAAUCAACAAAGUCCUAAUUUAAGUUUAGAACGAGAACCGGUCCACGUUUUUUAGAGAAAAGUUCGGGAGUGCGGUUUCGCACGGAGAAGGGUUAGCACCUUCGUGAUGCCCGUUUCACGAACGGUACCAUUUAAUCUUAAGUUAUCCUAUUGUACCUUAAUCCUUGCUUAUUAGUUAAUUUUUUUUAUUAUGUUAGUUGAUUGAGUCUUUUAUUUGGUUUCACGGAUGCACGUGAUGUAAUCGUAAAAUGAUGUUAUGAUUUAUUCAAUUUUAAAUGAUGGAGUCGACAAUCUUUUAUUGGAAAAAUCACUCAAAGAUCAUCCCAACGCUUUGGUGAAGUCUCGAAAUUUUUCUCACCUAGAGAUAUCCCCAGAAAAACUAGUCUCUACAAGCUCCUCGGGGAAAUCCCAUCAUCGAAAAUUCCGCACCAUUUGCAAGAUAAAUGUGGCAUGCUAUGACAGGAUAAAAUGAUGAUGUCUACAUGCACGCGUUUAUUGACUUAGGUGGUUCAUAAUUCAUUCAAUUAUGUGUUUAAUAAUUUAUCACCUUGUUUAUAUGUUUAUUACUAUUUGUUAUUUUUUUAUAGAUUAUUUAUUUAUUUAUAUUUAUUUUUUGUUUUCUAUUUAAAUCCAUAUCCUUUAAUUAACGUUAUUGAUUAAUAUUUUACUUGAUUAUAUAGCUUAUAAAUAAUUAAUUAAUUUUUAAACGAUUAAAUUACCUUUAUUUAGUAAUAUUUAUUUAAGCUAAUUAACUAAUUAUAUUAAUUUAAAUUCACAUGCAACAUUAUAUAAAUUUUCUUUUAUAUAUAUUAUUUUUGACAACGAUUAUUUGAUUUAACAGGUAUUGAAGUUUAGAGUUCGGAUUUAUCCCGACGCUUCGGUGAAAAUCCGUCUCGAACUUCACUCCCAAAAAAAUCCACUCAAAAGAGGCAACUCUUUGUCCUUUUUAGGUAGUAGUACUCAAAUAACCGUUCCAUUAUAUUAUUAUUAUUUUUUAUGUUUGUAUCAUGAGUUAUUUAUUAUUAUUAUUUUUUUAUUUUGAUUAAAAUAAACAUUCAUAUUAUAUAUAUAAUUAUAUAUAAAUAACCUUUCCUAAUAUGGUUUAAAUUAUAACAAAAAAAUAUAUUUUAUUUAACAAAAUGGGUUAGACCCAAAAGCAAUUGAAACAAGCCCAUAUCAAAGAGAAGGAUUAUACCUUUCUAGGCUCAGUUUAGUCCAGCUCAAUGGCCCACAGAAGCCCAAAUCUGCUACACCCGAUCUGCUUCUUGAGGCCCACAAGGCAGAAUUCGAAACGCGAUGUUUGGUACCUGGGACACUACUCUAUACGGCACCGUUUAGCCUUGAACCUUUUAGUUCCCCGCUCCCUGAAAUGGUGCCUUUUGGUUCUCUUACACCUAGAUAUAAAAACCUUUUUUUUGGCCUUUUCUAUUAUUUUCACCUUCCUCUUUCUCUCUCUAGCCCAAAUGCUCUCCUUUCUCUCUAGCUUCAAGCCACGGCCCCCCCUUUCACCGUCGGCCUUCACUCUCCCUUACGUCGGUGGCUUGCCUUUAACCGGCGGCCCAGGUGUUCUUCCCCUCUCUACCGGUGCUGAUCUGGCCUUACCUCACUGCCGGUGCCGUUCGGAUCUUUUCUUUUCGUCGGUCGGUGGCAAUAAGAUCAAACCAAAAGUCUUCUCUCUCUCUUCUUCGUUACCUUACCGUCGGCCAGAUCUCACUAUCCCCUAAAUAUACCCAAAUCAAAAGUGCAACCCAAAUCACCCUCCGCUUUCCUCUUUUUUUUUUUUAUAUCUUAUGUAUUUUUUGUUUUUUUGUUGUUGAUUGUGGUUAGGUAGUUGGCUGCUAGAUCUUAGGAUUUCGGAUUUGAUUUGGGGUUUUUUUUUUGUUGCUAUUUGAAAAAUAAAAAAUUUCUAGUUGGAUUUAGACUUUUUUUUUGAAACGUUUUCUCUCUCAUUUUUUUUUGGUUUGAAACUCUCUUUUUGUUUUUGAAUCUCAGUUUUCUUGCCCCUCAAAAUGCUCUUUCCGGAUCGGUUUGAAACCCCCCCUUUUAAGAACUGGAUUGUCUAAAAAUUUGGACAAUCCAAAGGUGAAAUCAUGCUCUUCUGAGCAUGAUUUCACUAGGCUCUGGCAAACAGGAAGGAUUGGUAGCCAGAGGUGACCACUCUUCCCCAAAUUCGGCUACCUUUCAAGGGUAUUAAUGCCCUGUAAUGAUGAACUGGAGGAGGGGCUGAGCACACGCUCAGUCCCUUCCUGUUCAUUCAUCAUCAUUUUUUUAUUUUUUUAUUAUUUUUAUCUAUUUUUUAUUAAUUUUUUUAAUUUUUUUAAUUUUUUUAUUUUUGAGCUUUUUUUUCUUUUUUUUUAUUCUUUUGAAGUAGGUGUUUACAGUUGUCCCUCUUUGUACAUUCUUGAGAAUCAAGAAUAGUGCAAAGACAUAGACACCGUAUUCAAUUCAUCUUGGGGCAAGUUUGAUUCUAGCAAUUUGAUCUAGACUUGACCUAUCUCAAAACAAGUUUGAUUAAAAACAUGAAGUAUCUAGGCUUGACCUGGGUUCGUAAAAGAAUGAGAUUUCUAAGUUUGACUUAAGCACAACCCGUCUCAAAAUAUGUUCAAUUAAGAAAAAACAAAAAUUUCUAUAUUUGAUCUAGACUCGACCUAUCUCCAAACAGGUUCGACUUAAAAAUUGAAAUUCCUAGACUUGAUCUAGGCUCGACCUAUCUCACAACAGGUUCGACUUAAAGAAUUGAAAUUCCUAGACUUGACUUAGGCUCGACCUAUCUCACAAAACAGGUUCAAUUUUAAAAAAUGAAAUUCCUAAACUUAAUAUAAGCUCGACUUAUUUCACAACAGGUUCGAUUUAAAAAUUAAAAUUCCUAGACUUUAUCUAGGAUCAACCUAUCUCACAACAGGUUUAAUUUAAAAUUGAAAUUCCUAAACUUAAUCUAGGCUUGACCUAUCUCACAACAGGUUCGAUUUAAACAAAAUUGAAAUUCCUAAACUUAAUUUAGGCUCGACCUAUCUCAAAACAAAACAGGCUCGAUUUUAAAAAAAAAAUUAAAAUUCUUAGACUUGACUUAGGCUCGACCCAUCUCACAAAUAGGUUUGAUUUAAAAAUUAAAAUUCCUAGACUUGAUCUAGGCUCGACCUAUCUCACAACAGGUUCGAUUUAAAAAUUGAAAUUCCUAGACUUAAUCUAGGUUUGACCUAUCUCACAACAGGUUCGAUUUAAACAAAAUUGAAAUUCCUAAACUUAAUUUAGGUUAGACCUAUAUCAAAACAGGUUCGACUUAAUUCAUAAAUGCCAACUUAAUUGGAUUAACUUCACAAUGAAAAACUCAAAUCUUUUUAUCAAAGUUCUACAACCUCAACAUUUUAGGUCAGGUGGAUUCCUACUUUCAAAGCUUGGGACAUGAAUUAAUUUGGAUUAUUGUUUUCAAAAUGACCGUGUGUAUGGCUAGGCAUGUAUGCAUGAUUGAAAUGAUGAAAUGUUUUCAUGUUUAUGAUUCAUUAAGGUUCCAAGACCUUUGUUUCAUCUAAUUUUUCACUGCAGCUUUCAAUGACUUUCGUCUUGUGCCUUACUUCAUUGGCUGACAUUCUUGAUUUUCCUUAGGCGUGCCCCCUUCUUUUUGACAUUUGACUCUCUUUUUUUUUGCUCAAGUUUAAAGCUCUGCCAUUCCUUUUUCUCAUCAUCAAGUCUUUUGUUGAACAAUGAACGUAAUUUUUUUGCUUAAUUAGUUUAUUUCUUUCACCAGUCAUCAUUCAUUUCUAUGACAAUCAUUAUGUGAAAUCAUGGGAUGGUAAAGAAUAAAAGGGUUCAAAUAAAAAGGCGAAGGAGAAUUUCAUAUAUGACAAAUCAAAUAAUAUAAAGCAAAGAGAAUUUAUAGAGCAAACAUUAGAUCUUAAGUAAUGAACACUCAGACCAUUCUGAGCAAAUAAUCUGAUGUUCGACUUCAAGAAUUGUCCUUAAUUGAUGCUUUGAGCAAAUCUGUAGGUUACAAACUCCCUCACUUCCCCUGUUUUGUGAAAUUGUGGAGCUCCAUUCAUAGUGUACUUCUACCUCGAUCUUGUGUUCCAUUCGGGCUGACAUCUUUAAGUUUCAUUCUAACUUUCUGCUUUUCGACCUCAAGCUGCCUUUUUCGGGUUUUCAGCAUGAGCCUCCUCCUUUAGGUACGAGUUGCCCUUUUCGGGUUUUCAACCAUGGACCCCCUCCGUUUUUUUUUUUUUAAGUAUAGUACUUUUUCAUCGCAUCUGCGUUUAUCGAGUUAGGAAAAUCCUCCCCAUCCAUGUUAGCCAAAAUCAAAGCUUCUCUUGAAAAAGCCUUCUUUACCACAUAUGGUCCUUCCCAAUUUGGCAUUCACUUUUCCCGAAAAUCCAUCUGAUUAGGGAGUAUUCUCUUGAGAACUAGCUCUCCUUCUCGCAACUGCCUUGGACGAACUUUUUUCUCGUAUGCUUGCAUCAUCCUUCGUUGGUACAUCUGGCCGUGACAAAGGGCUGCGAGCCUUUUCUCUUCAAUUAAAUUUAAUUGCUCGUAGCGGGAGUGGACCCACUCAGCAUCUUUUAAUUUUGUUUCCAUCAACACCCUCAAUGAUGGGAUUUCUACUUCAACAGGUAGAACUGCUUCUGUACCAUAUACUAAUGAGUACGGAGUUGCCCCGGUGGAGGUACGCACUGAAGUUCGAUAUGCAUGUAAGGCAAAAGGAAGUUUCUCAUGCCAGUCUUUAUAAACUUCAGUCAUCUUUUCAACAAUCUUUUUGAUAUUUUUGUUGGUUGCCUCUACCACUCCGUUCAUCUUCGGACGGUAAGUUGUUGAGUUAUAAUGCUUGAUCUUGAAUUUAGCGCAAACCUCCUUCACCAUCGCACCAUUCAAAUUGCUUGCAUUAUCGGUAAUGAUAUUUUUCGGCAGCUCAUACCGGCAUAUGAUCUCCCUUUAGAUGAAUCUGCACACCACCUUUUGUGUCACAUUGGCAUAGUAAGCUGCUUCUACCUAUUUCAUGAAAUAAUCAAUGGCCACUAAUAUGAAUCGAUGUCCAUUAGAAGCUUUUGGCGUAAUAAGCCCAAUCACAUCCAUUCCCCACAUUGAAAAUAGCCAAGGUGUUGUGAAAACAUGCAAUGGGGCUGGUGGAGCAUGGAUUCUAUCUGCAUAAACUUGACACUUGUGGCAUUUUCGAGCAAAGUUUAUGCAGUCUGAUUCCAACGUCAACCAAUAAUAACCAACUCUCAUAAUUUGUCUAGCCAAUAUAUGUCCAUUAGCAUGAGCUCCAUAAGUUCCUUCGUGAACUUCUUUCAUUAUUUUGUUGGCUUCCGUAACAUCCACACAUCUCAAAAGUACUUGAUCUCGACUUCUUUUGUAGAGCACUUCUCCGCUAAAGAAGAAACCCAUUACUAAUUUUCCCAGAGUUCGCUUGUCAUUGUCCGUGACAUUCUCAGGAUAUACCUGGUGCUUGAUGUAUUGCAUGAUAUCAUGAUACCACGGCUUACCGUCAACCUCUUCCUUAACAUUCAAACAGUGUACGGAGACUUCACGGACUUCUAAAUCAAAAGGGCGUACAUCAGUCGCUUUUUUUAUUUUGAACAUUGCUGCGAGAGUGGCCAAAGCAUCAGCAAGCUAAUUUUCUUCUCGAGGCAAAUGGUCGAAGCUGAUUUUCUUGAACUGUUUGCUUAGUUUUGUAACCAACUUUUUAUAUGAAACUAGUUUAGAAUCUCUAGUUUCCCAUUCGCCUUUCAUUUGACAUAUCACCAAAGUCGAAUCUCCGUAAACCUCUAUCGCGCCGACCUUCAUCUCGAUUGCUGCUUGUAAUCCCAUUACCAACGCCUCAUAUUCCACUAUAUUAUUAGUACAAUUGAUAUUCAAUCUCGCCGUAGCUGGAUAGUACUUUUCAUUUGGAGAAAUCAACACUGCCCCAAUUCUGUGCCCCAAAGCAUUGGAUGUUAUAUCAAAAUACAUCUUCCAUGGAUUAAGUUCAUUGGGACUGUCUUUUUCUAUUUGCAAGACGGCCAUCAAAUCUUUAUCUGGAAAAUCGAAUCUUACAGGUUCAUAAUCCUCAUUAGUUUGAUCUGCGAGGAAAUCAGCAAUGACGCUCCCUUUGAUUGAUUUUUGGGAUACGUACACAAUAUCAUACUCAGACAAUAGCACUUGCCAUCGAGCUAUUCUCCCAAACAGAAAGGAUUUUUCAAAAAUAUACUUGAUGGGAUCUAAUUUUGCCACCAACCAUGUUGUGUGAUACAACAUAUAUUGUCGAAGCCUUUAGGAGGUCCAUGCUAGCGCACAACACAUCUUUUCGAGCACAAAGUAUUUGGACUCAUACUCCGUAAAUUUCUUGCUUAAAUAAUAUAUGGCCUGUUCUUUCUUCCCAGUUUCAUCAUGUUGUCUUAGUACACAUCCCAUAGAAUUCUUGUUCACAGUCAAAUAUAAAAUCAGAGGUUUUUCAACAGUCGAUGGCACUAACAUCGAUGGAUUUGUGAGAUAUUCUUUGAUUUUAUCAAAGGCUAUUUGACAUUCUUCAUUCCACUCUCUUGGGUCUCAUUUUCGAAGUAGCUUGAAGAUUAGAUCACAUUUACAAGUGAGCUGGGAUAUAAAUCGAGCAAUGUAAUUCAACUUCCCUAAAAAUCCUCUCACUUCUUUUUACGUUUUAGGAGGUGGUAGCUCUUGAAUAGCUCGUAUCUUAUCCGGGUCCACUUUAAUUCCCUUUUCACUUACUAUGAACCCCAAUAAUUUUCCAGAAGUAACACCGAAAGUACAUUUUGCAAGAUUCAACUUGAGCUGAAACUUUCAUAAUCUCUCGAACAGCUUUUUGAGAUUGACAGUAUGAUCUCUUUCUGUGUGAGAUUUUGCAAUCAUGCCAUCCACAUAUACCUCUAUUUCUUUAUGCAUCAUAUCGUGAAACAAAGCUACCAUUGUCCUAUGGUAGGUGGCAUAUGCAUUCUUCAAUCCAAAUGGCAUUACUUUGUAACAAAACGUUCCCCACAUGGUUACGAAUGUUGUUUUUUCCAUAUCUUUGGGUGCCAUGUUGAUCUGAUUGUAAACAGAAAAAUCAUCCAUAAAUGAGAAUAAAGCAUGCUUUGCUGUGUUGUCCAUAAGAGUAUCAAUAUGUGGCAAAGGGAAGCUAUCCUUCAAACUCGCUCUGUUCAAAUCCUUGUAAUCGACGCACAUUCAAACUUUUCCAUCCUUCUUAGGAACUGAAACUAUAUUAGCCACUCAUUCAGGAUACUUAGCCACCUCUAAGAAUCCAGCAUCAAAUUGCUUCUUUACUUCUUCUUUAAUCUUUAGCAACAUUUCUGGCUUCAUCAUUCUCAACUUCUAUUUAAUAGGCUUGUAAUCCAGUCUUAAAGGUAACUUGUGGACAACAAUGUCAGUAUUAAGACUUGGCAUGUCCUGAUAUGACCAAGCAAACACAUCCACAUAUUCACGAAGCAGUUCUUCUAGCUUCUGUCGUUCAUUAGAUGACAGCGAGGUGCCAAUCUUAACCUCUUUCUUUUAUUUCCCGUUUCCAAGAUUAAUCAUUUCUGUGAGUUCUUGAUAAGGUAAGAUCUCCCUUUCCUCCUAUUCCAACAUUCUCGAUUAAUCAAGGGGUAAGCCAUAGUCAUCCACCUCCUCUUCACUUUUCAAUUCAUCAAUGUUUGAAACUGUCUCGAAAUUGAAAUUCAAAUUGUUCUCCAGAUUGUCUUUGUGUUCAUUAUUUAAAGAUCUGCAAAUAGGUAAAAUUGAACAUGUGUAUGGGCAAGUAUUUAUUGGCUAAAAGAAUAGAUGAAAGGAAAUAUGCAAAAAGGUUGAUGAAUUAUGAAACACAUUAUGCAUUGUUAUUUAUUUAAAUGAUGAAGGUAACAGAAAGCCCUACUUAAAUAAAAAAUUACUCUUAACACCCUUAGGCAUAGGCAUUUAGAGAGAAUUAUUCAUUACAUUUCCAAAGGCUUAAAGAUGAUGGGCAAUUCCGUAGCUGUCCAAUUGGUUAACUCCUCUCCUAGUAGUACUUGAUACACCACAGGGACCUUCUCGUUAGAUUCUUCGUCUUUGAUCAUAUGGACUGACAACUCAUCAAACAUCUGCAGAACCUGAUUGACCUUUGUUGGUGCUUCGGGAUGAAUGAAACCUGCAGAGCGAAAAGUCUCAUAUAAGUACGGAAUUGCCUGUUUCCCAAAUUCUUCUUUCUUUCCCUCAAGCUGAGCCAUCCUUUUAAUCUUCUUUUGAGCUGCCAAUUUCCUUAUCUCUUCUUUGGUAGGUUUGUAUCCCAAACCAAACCUUUCUUCAUUCUUUAUUGGAGUCAAAGGACGGUUAAUUCCUUGUAAAUUCUUGCCUAGCCCCAAACCUACACGACAUCCUUUUCCCACUGUCUGCUUUACCCCCAUUUCAGUUGCUACUAACAAACAAGGAGUUGGUAUCAUUUUUCCUUUCCCCACAUAAGUAGCAUUAACAAAUUCAAAAGAUCUAAAUGAGCACUCUAGGACUUCUUUUGUUGCCUCUACAUAGGGGGUAGAUGAAGGUUGAAUGGCCAGUAUGUCUUCCUCCGUAAAUACACUUAUCAGUUAGCCUUCAACUAUAAAUUUAACCUUUUGAUGAAGGGAAGAGGGUAUGGCUCCCGCCAUAUGAAUCCAUGGACGCCCUAGUAAGCAAUUGUAGGAUGGGGCGAUGUCCAUGACUUGAAAUUGGACCUAAAAAAUGUAAGGGCCAAUUUUUAUCGGCAGUUCAAUGUAUCCUACCACAUCUCUUAUGAUUCCGCCAAAAGCCCUUACAACCAUGUGGCUGGUUCUCAUAUAGGACAGGUCUACAGGUAACUUGGUUAAGGUAGAGCGAGGCAUGACAUUUAAAGCUGAGCCAUUAUCGAUCAAGACCCUAGGUACGACGUGGUCCUUGCAUUGGAUGGUAAUGUGCAGAGCUUUAUUACUUCCUCGACCACCCGAUGGGAUUUCCUCAUCAUUAAAGGCCAUGAAGUUCCCCACUGUAAUAUUUCCCACAAUAUGAUCCAACUUUUCCACCGAUAUAUCAUGAGCCAUGUAAGCUUGAUUUAGGACCUUAAGUAGCGCAUUCCUGUGUGCUUCUGAAUUCAGAAGCAAAGAUAAUAGCGAGAUACGAGCAGACAUUCUCGUUAAUUGUUCCACCACACUAUACUCACUGUGGUUUAAUAAAUUUGAGAAAUUCACCUGCUUUUUUUUUCGUAACAUGCCUUUUAAUCUCGUUGUUCAGAGCAAUUGGAGAUUCGGUGGUUUAGUCCUUGAGAAAGGUACUUGCUUCUUUCAAAUCUUUUCCUUGUUUGGAUUUUCCUUUUUCAAUCCUUUCUGCUAUUUCAGGAGAAUAACAUCGUCCACUUCGCGUUAUUCCUCCCACACUAGUCAAAUCUAUAGAAGAUACUUGCGAAGUAAGGGGGGCCAUACCUAAGAUAUUACAUUCGUAAUUCUAGGGAACAACCUUCUCACUCUUGUACUGGAACGGGCUAGAAAUUUCAAUAGUGAUGCCAUUUUCGACAACAGUAGAGGAUGUAUCAUUCGUCGGACUCCUAUUUUUUUCAUAAAAGAUGGUCAGAGGUUUAGGUUUAUUCACCCCAGAUGAACUUGAUGCUACUUCAACUAGGGUAUCUUCAUUUAUGGUUCUGACUAAAUCCUCUUCGCCUUCUUCAUAAAAUUCAAUUACCGACAAAUCCAUCAAUUCUUGCAGCUUACAACGAAAGCUAUCAUAAUUUCGAAUGAAAUGUCCAACAAUCCCCAUAUGAAAUUUGCAAGAAUGGGUGAGAUCAUACCCUACUUUUUUUAUGUCUAUCGAUUCUGGAGUGAUGGCUUUUAUUUUGGACAACGCCUUAAACACUCUAUCCAUCGACGUUUGAAUCUUGUCGACAUUCUUUUUCACCCUUCGAAUCAUCCUUUCAUGUAUUGCAUUCACUGUCGGACUUUCAUGGUUAGGCAAGGGAUUCCCAUCAACAUUUGAAUUAUCUUUUUUAGCAAAAUUUAAAAGUCCUGUCUUAAUGAGCGAUUGGACCUUAUGUUUUAAUGCAGUGCAAUUCUUCAUGGAGUGUCCUUCAAUUCCAAAAUGGUAAUCACAAUGCGCAUUCGGAUCAUACCAUUUUGGAAAAAGAGGUCGGAGUGGUUCCAAAGGGGUUCGAGCAAUGAGUCGAUUUUCUAUGAGUUGUGGUAACAAUGUAGUGUAAGGAAUUGGGAUAGGAUCAAACUUAGGUUUUUUUUGGGUAGUUUUAGGUCCUCUUUGACCAUUGCCAAAAUUAUUGGUUGAAGCUACCGGUCUUGGUGGUGGAGCUUGUGGGAGAACAUUGGUCUGAAACAUUGGUUGUGAGGCAGGUUGGUACACAUAUGGGUUUUGUGCGAUGUUGCCUAUGUUCGGAUAAAAGGGUUGGUAUGGGGGGUACGGGUAAUAUGGGUUAAAGUUGUGGGUCUGUUGUCUGUCAUGGGCCACUACUUGUACAUCUCUUUCUUUUCUCUUGAGCAAACUCCAUUUCUUUGAGCCAGCAACCUCCUACCCUUCAAUUUUUCCACUUUUGAUAGCUCAUUCUAUUAUUUCUCCAUAUAAGACCAAAUUCGUAAAGUUUUUCGUGGCGUUACCGAUCAAGCGUUCGUAAAAUAGAGCUCGAAGUGUGUUUAUGAACAACACAGUCAUUUCUUUAUCAGUGAGAGGUGGCUGAACUUGCGCUGUUGUAUCCCUCCACCUUUGGGCAUAUUCCUUGAAGCUUUCACUUUGCUUCUUUUUCAUAGUCUGCAAUGACAACCGAUCAGGGGCUAAUUCAGCCACAUGUUUGUAUUGGGCUAUGAAGGCUCUUGCUAGAUCUUUCUAAGUCUUAAUAUGAUUUCGAUCUAGCUGUACGUACCACCGAGCAGCUGACCCAGUCAAGCUAUCUUGAAAAAAAUGGAUUAAUAGCUUGUCAUCAUGGGAUUGUGCAGCCAUCUUUCGAUAAUACAUAGUAAUAUGUGUCAUGAGACACUUUGUUCCGUCAUAUUUUUCAAAUUCUGAAACUUUGAACUUGGCCGAGAUCAAUACAUCAGGCACUAAGCAUAGUUCGGUUGCAUCCAUGGUAUCGAACCUAUCAACUCCUUCGAUAGCACGAAAAUGUUCUUUUAGUAAAUCGUACUUUUUCAUAUCUUUUUCAUUUUUUCCUGUUUGUGAUGAGUCCUUUCUUAGUUUCUCUUACUCUUUUGGAUCAUCUAAAUCUGGGACGUGUAUUGGUUCAGUAGAAUUUAUCCCAGAAUACAGCUUAAAUUGCCCAUGAGUCGAUUGAUGGCCCAUUGAAGGUGGUGUAUUGUAACAAACGGAUGGCAUCACUUAAGGGUGGACCCUUUGAGAGGUUUGGGCAUGUGAUGGAGUGAACUUUGGGGGAUAAGGUGGAUCAUCCCUUUGGUUUUCAAUGUCUUGAGCAGGUGGGUUUUCUGACGGAGCUGACUCUUCCGUAACUCUUUUUCCUUUACUUAAGCUUGUCAUCAAUUCCAUCAUCUUUGCUAACUGUUCUCUCAUUUCUUCUUGAGCUCUUUCCAUUCUAUCCAUUCGCUCUCUUUGUUCUUCUUCCAUGAUCCUUGCUCGUCGACGCAUAUUAUAGACACGUUGGUUACUUGGCUUAAGUGGUUGAGCUAUUUUUGGAACCUUAUUGUAAUCAUAAACAUGAAUUAGAUGCAUAUUCGAUGCAUGAAUGAAAUGAAGAACUGAACCCAUUAUCUUUAUUUUUAGGUGAAAAUACUUAUUGUCAUGAAAUGAUGAUUUAUGCAUGUAUGAAUGAUUAUGUACUAAAAGUAUUCGUCACAUGACACCCAACAACAAAGUCAUCCAUUGCAUAAGAUAUUGUCUUUGAUUACAACUCAGGAGUCAUCUAGAAAUAUUCACCAAUUUUAUUAUAAUGGCUAUACACCUCAUCUAAAUACUUAAUCAACUGUUGCUCUUGUUUUCCAACUAGAAAGACCUGGCUCCUUAAUAUGUCCUUCUUCUAAGCCAUGUUUCUUGCCUUGUAAGCCACCUCCCUCAUUUGCCAAACCAAGUAAUCCAUCUGGUCGUGUUUCUCUAUAUAAGCUUAUUUGUAGGAUUCACCCCACUCUUGAAUUCUGGUGCUCUGUUGCUUGAGGCGUUCAUAUUCUUGUUGAUAAGUCGUCAUGACCCCUUCGAGCUCUUCAUACUCCUAUCUUAGUAAUUGGAUAGACUCUUAUUGGAAUCGCACUUGAUUUCUUAGUCCAUCAUUAUACGCUUGAAGUUCAUUGUCUCUAUUUUCUCUCACUUGUAUUUCCCUUUGAAGUUCACUGGUUAUGGCAGAAAACUUAUUAUUCAAACUCUUAUACUUCCCUUCUCAAUUACUAUCUAUUUUUCGGACCUUAUUUCUUUGUUCAAUUACUUCUUUAUUCAUCUUCUCACACUCUUUUUGGAGGUCUUCAUACCGUUGCUUCCAACUGGCAUUUUUAGCUUCGAACUUUUUUCGAGCCAACUCACUCUCGAGCAAAGCAUUUCGUGAUUCCGGAUCAACUGGGCCAUGCAGUGCAUCUUCCUUCGGAUAUACCACAUCCUUAACUUGUUGGUCGUGCCAUAUCUGAUAUCUGGUAGUUACUUCAUCAGUGUAUCUCCCUUGGUCGACUCGGCUGGUUUGCUUUUAAGCUCGCGCAAUCUUCUCAAUCUUUUUCAGAAAACCCGGCUCUCCAUAAGCAAACUCCAAAGUAUUAAAUCGGUGUGUCAUCGGCACAAACUGCCCUGACCCAAAUUGUCUUCUCACCAUGAUUAGGGCGUAGCUGAUUACUCCCCAUGGCCCCAUUAACGGCACCCAAGGUUCAUUUUCGCAUUUGUACAAGACUGGGCGAUGAGGCAUCCACGGAGCUCUCCACGUUACUUCCACACUUAUGAGUUUUUGAAGCCCUAAGAUCCAUUGUUCCUUAGUCUUAUUUUUGAGCCAUUCACUCUCACAAAAUUCUCUGAUAGGGGCACUUUGCGGAUGAAAGAGCUUUCUAAACUUAUCGACCUUGCAUUCAAAGUGGCUUACUAUCUAGAUGGAAAGAAGCUGUGCACAUCCCAUAAAUCGUCCUUCCCCCUUUCUUCGACAAUAAUUCAGUGAUAUGAGAGUUUUUACUAGAAUAAAAGGUAAAGGGUUGGCCUUGUUGAUGACUUGCUCGAAGAAAUCUAUAAUUUUGACCUCUAUAUGUCCCAAGACUUUGGGAAAGAUCACUAGCCCAUAAAUUCCCAAGGCCAUCAUAAGCUGUCUUUACUCGGUGUCCCGAUGCUUCAUGAUAUAACUACGUAGAAAACUCCAUGAGAUACAUUCAUUGUCCCCCUUUUUCCUUAGGUUUUGGUCAACUUCCGCCGGGAUAAUACCCAUCAUCUUGGCUAACUUUCGCCUGUGUCCGAUCUUUUGUCCUCUCCAAUAUAUCUUGUUCGGAUUAUCAAGAUCGAUUUGUAGGAAAGUCGAGUACUCUUCGAUUGUGGGGACCAUAUCCACUUCAUUAAACACGAAGCACCUGUACGACGAUCCCAAAAUUGCACAAUGGCCUUCAACAACUGUUCAUCAAUUGGACUUUAAGUAGCCGGGCUAUGUGGCUAUAUUUCUUAUCGAAACUUGCUCAAGUGGUGGCCCUCCAUCUAUCCCAUAUGUCAAGCAAAUCGGUGAAGUCAUUCUGUUUAAAAUCAAUGUGGACCCUAUCAGGUAGUGAUGAGAAGUGAUCUUUUGACAAGCAAUCUCCCUCACUUUGUUGGGCAUUCGCCAUGUGCUGAGUCACUUCGUAUAUUCCAUCGUAACUUGAGGAUGGCCAUGUUGACUCCAUGUAUGCAAUUGGAUCUACUCUGUCAAUGGUUGUCAGGUGACAAAUACUUUUCCUAUAUGCAAAAUUAUGAUGCAAAUAUGCAUAUGACAAAAAGCUUAAGUUAGUACCGUAAACAAGAAUUCCAAAAGAUGAAUAAUUAAUAACAUGAUACCUUUAUUACUUCGUGGAGAAGAAUUUAGGAUAAGGGGAUUAUGAAAAUUCUUUCAUGUGUACCUAGUCAAAAGGUAUAUUAUCACGGGUGAAGCUCUACCUAAGUAAAGGCAACUCUCGGUAUUUUACAUGCUGAGUUUGGGUUGAAAAUGGAGCUAAAGGUUCUCAAAUCGCUCCUUACUGUCGUCCACACGGACUAGUAAGGUAUCCCGGUUCUCACCCAUUACAAGCUUCAAACGGAUUAGGUUCGAUCUUAGUGGGAGUCUUCACUAGCCCAUGCGAAGGUUAUCACCUCACAAAAGCAUAGCUACUUAACUCCCUUCUAAUUAAAGACAAAGCUCGGGUGGAAGGCUUAUGCAUGAAUGCAAGAUGUGUAGUGUGUGAGAAAGAAUAUACUGACCUUGGACCAAUAAUUUCACACUCCCCUUAUCCUAAAUUUCCCGCAAUUAUUAAAAACAAUGAAGUAAUAAUAGCAAAAUAAAUGAAUGCAUUAAACAAAAAUAUGCAAAAUUGAUGCUAGGGAAGACAACAAAUUAUUUAAGGCUUAAGAUAACUUAUGAUUAAUUAAUAGUUUGACUCUCGAUGUCCCUAAUGGAGUCGCCAUCUGUCGUAACGUGUGGGUUCGGGAACCCAACCGCUAGACGUCGACGAAAAUAAAGUGGUUUAGGAGUCGCCACCAAUCGUCUUGUAUCUAGGUGCGAUUGGACACCUAUUAACCCGAUUCUAAUCAACAAAGUCCUAAAUUAAGUUUAGAACGAGAACUGGUCCACAUUUUCCAGAGAAAGGUUCGAGAGUGCGGUUACGCACGGAGAAGGGUUAGCACCUCUGUGACGCUCGUUCCACGAACGGUACCAUUUAAUCUUAAGUUAUCCUAUUGUACCUUAAUCCUUGCUUAUUAGUUAAUUUUUUUAUUAUGUUAGUUGAUUGAGUCUUUUAUUUGGUUUCACGGAUGCACAUGAUGCAAUCGUAAAAUGAUGUUAUGAUUUAUUCAAUUUUAAAUGAUGGGGUCGACAAUCUUUUAUUGAAAAAAUCAUUCAAAGACCAUCCCAACGCUUUGGUGAAGUUUCGAAAUUUUCCUCACCUAGAGAUAUCCCUGGAAGAACUCGUCUCUACAAGCUCAUCAAGGAAAUCCCAUCAUCGGAACUCCCGCACCAUUUGCAAGAUAAAUGUGGCAUGCUAUGACAGGAUAAAAUGAUGAUGUCUACAUGCACGCGUUUAUUGACUUAGGUGGUUCAUAAUUCAUCCAAUUAUGUGUUUAAUAAUUUAUCACCUUGUUUAUAUGUUUAUUACUAUUUGUUAUUUUUUUAUGGAUUAUUUAUUUAUUUAUAUAUAUAUAUAUUGUUUUCUAUUUAAAUCCAUAUCCUUUAAUUAACGUUAUUGAUUAAUAUUUUACUUGAUUAUAUAGCUUAUAAAUAAUUAAUUAAUUUUUAAACGAUUAAAUUACCUUUAUUUAGUAAUAUUUAUUUAAGCUAAUUAACUAAUUAUAUUAAUUUAAAUUCACAUGCAACAUUAUAUAAAUUUUCUUUUAUAUAUAUUAUUUUGACAACAAUUAUUUGAUUUAACGGGUAUUGAAGUUUAGAGUUCGGAUUUAUCCCGACGCUUCGGUGAAAAUCAAUCUCAAACUUCACUCCCAAAAAAAUCUACUUAAAAGAGGCAACUAUUUGCCCUUUUUAGGUAGUAGUAUUCAAAUAACAUUUCCAUUAUAUUAAUUUUUUUUUUUUAUGUUUGUAUCAUGAGUUAUUUAUUUUUUUUUUUUUGAUUAAAAUAAACAUUCAUAUUAUAUAUAUAAUUAUAUAUAAAUAACCUUUCCUAAUAUGGUUUAAAUUAUAACAAAAAAAAUGUAUUUUAUUUAACAAAAUGGGUUAGACCCAAAAGCAAUUGAAACAAGCCCAUAUCAAAGAGAAGGAUUAUACCUUUUUAGGGUCAGUUUAGUCCAGCUCAAUGGCCCACAGAAGCCGAAAUCUGCUACACUCGAUCUGCUUCCUGAGGCCCACAAGGCAGAAUUCGAAACGCGUCGUUUGGUACCUGAGACACUACUCAAUAUGGCGUCGUUUAGCCUUGAACCUUUCAGUUCCCCGCUCCCUGAAAUGGUGCUAUUUGGUUCUCUUACACCUGGGUAUAAAAACCCCUUUUUUGGCCUUUUCUAUUAUUUUCACCAUCCCCUUUCUCUCUCUAGCCCAAAUGCUCUCCCUUCUCUGUAGCUUCAAGCCACGGCCCCCCCUUUGACCGCUGGCCUUCACUCUCCCUUAUGUCGGUGGCUUGCCUUUAACCGGUGGCCUAGGUGUUCUUCCCCUCUCUACCGGCGUUGAUCUAGCCUUACUCCGCCGUCGGUGCCGUUCGGAUCUUUUCUUUUCGCAGGUCGGUGGCAGUAAGAUCAAACCAAAAGUCUUCUCUCUCUCUCCUUCGUUACCUUGCCGUCGGCCAGAUCUCACUAUCCCCUAAAAUACCCAAAUCAAAAAUGCAACCCAAAUCACCCUCCGCCUUUCCUCUUUUUUUUUUUAUAUCUUAUGUAUUUUUUGUUUUUUUGUUAUUGAUUGUGGUUAGGUAGUUGGCUGCUAGAUCUUAGGAUUUCGGAUUUGAUUUGGGGUUUUUUUUUUGUUGUUGUUGCUAUUUGAAAAAUAAAAAAUUUCUAGUUGGAUAUAGACUUUUUUUUUUUGAAACGUUUUCUCUCUGAUUUUUUUUUGGUUUGAAACUCUUUUUUUUUUUUAAUCUCGGUUUUCUUGCCCCUCAAAAUCCUCCCCCUGAUCGGUUUGAAACCCCCCUUUUUAAGAAUGGAUUGUCCAAAAAUUUGGACAAUCUAGAGGUGAAAACAUGCUCUUCUGAGCAUCAUUUCACAAGGCUCUGACAAACAGGAAGGGUUGGUAGCUGGAGAUGACCACUCCUCCCCAAAUCCGGCUACCUUUCAGGGGCAUUAAUGCCCUGUAAUGAUAAACUAGAGGAGGGGUUGAGCACACGCUCAGUCCCUUUCUGUUCAUUCAUCAUCAUUUUUUUAUUUUUUUAUUAUUUUUAUCUAUAUUUAUUAAUUUUUUUAAAUUUUUGAGCUUUUUUUCUUUUUUCUUUUUAUUCUUUGGAAGUAGGUGUCUACAAUUACAAUCUCCUACUAAGAUAUAUAUCUAAAUUACAUUAUCUUUUUAAUAAAUCUUACAUUAUUAUUUAAAAAAUAUUCACAUAUAGAUGAAUCUUAAAAUAUCUAAAAUGUGGAUAAUAUAUCUAUCAUUUAUCAAAUUUACUUUAAUUUGAAUUGAUUUAAUGUAGUGUGAUAUGUCUACAUUUCACACCAAUUUGAUAUUUUAUUUUACUUGGAAAUAUGGAUAUUUUUGUUUAAAAUAGUCAAUUAUACUUUUGUUUGAAGUAUAGAAGAGGAGAAUUUUUUUUUUUACGUAGAGUAUUAGCUAGAGUAGAAGAAUUUGCUAGCCUAGAAUCCUAGAUACGCUCGGGCUAGGAACGAUGUACAGAAAAUCCAUAAUUCUAGUAUUUUACUCAAUUAUGAGCUUAAUAUUUAAAAUUAAUGGAGUUUUUAUUUUAAAAAAAGUAUAAGAAAAAGAACAAUAAUGUCAAUUAAAAAAUUUAAUUUAUCAAAUAAAUGAAUAUUAGAAAAACAGAAAAAAAACCAAAAUAUUUCAUAAAUGAUUGCAGAAGAAAACAAAAAUAUUUAAUAAUUUAUUUUGCAAUAUCAUUUCAAAUAAUUUAGCAUUGUUCUUUCCUUACAUCCACACUUGUGUCAAUGAUUCAUCCUUUGUAAUGCUUUAAAAUUAAAUAGUUCUAAUCAAAAACAGUCUCUUACCUACGGCUCCCAUCUGUAUUAGAAAUGUUCUAGAUGCUCAGAGCACAUUCCUUUGCAUUAGGAAAAGAAGUAGUGAUUAUUAUAAUUUGCCUUUUUAGUUGCAUCGGAAAUGUCGUAUAUGCGAAGAGAUAAGAUGAAUAUCCUCUCAGCAAUGUUAUUAUCUGUAGGCUGAAUCGAAAGCAUGACAAUAUAAGAUACACUAUCAUAUUUGUCAGCCUUAAUUUGUAUCUAACCACAUACUGACUUGCUGCUGAUAAUAAAUGGUUUAUCAAAAGCACCAAAUUUGAAGCCUAAACUGAAACGCACCUUACACUAGACAACUUUAUCAAAUAAAAGAUUCUCAAUUAAACAGUAAAAGUUAAUUAUGGAGAGUCGAUUAAUUAAUCAUCACAUAUUAUUUGUCUGAAAUUUUUGGUUACUUACAUUUUAAUUUGCCUUUUUACAUUUAUUAUUUUGCAUGCUUAUUGCAGCGGGCACUGGGCAGGCUAAUUAACCAAGAAAAAGAAUGAAGGGAGGCACCAUAUUGUCUAUCGCAAUGUAUAUAGUAUUUCUUUUGGGGACUAAUUAAAUUACUCACUAACUUACCAAUUUUAUGAAAAAGGCUUGUGGGGAUCAGAGGCCUGCCGCCAGCCACCAUCGUCCCUCGCUUGGCCCCUCCUAUCCUAUGUUUAACCCUUUUGAUAGACAUGGAAGGUCUUCAUGGAGGGAGUAGAAUUUACAGUUACACCAAAAAAAUAGUAUCAAGUAUUUUCUAUGUGAGCUGGAAAUAAAGGAGAAUGUGCACUGGGAGAAGGUUCGCUAAAGAUUUGAUAAUUGCUUCAUAUAGCAUGAGAUUGUGAUCAAAGAUGGGAUAUAGUCUUAGCUCUUGAUGAGGUGAUAUAGUCUAAAAAGGAAUAUAUCUUUUAGGUGGUUUAACCCAAUGUAGAUUUAUAAAUUAAAUAAGGCUAAUAAAAAUCUACAGACAAAAUAUUAAUAUUAAUUAAGUUCUUAAUUAAUUUUUUUAUAAUUUUUUAAAGAAUCUUACUAAAUGUACUUUUGUUUUGAAAAAUUUAAAAUAAGUAUAAUUAUAGAAUAACAGUCAAAACAGAAAACAAUUAGUGAUCAAGACCACAUCACACCAAUGUGACGUAUAUGAAAAAAAAAUUAUAUUUAUUUUAUCAUAAAAUCAAGCCAUAAAACAUACAAACAAUAGAAUCAUCAUGCAUAUCUAAUAAAUAAUUUUUUAAAAAAAGAUUAAAAAUAAUAUGAAAAAUAAGCAAGAAAGAUAUUAUUAAUAAUAAAAGAAAAGAGUAUUCUAUACUUCAAUGAAGUCUUCUCAGCCUAAAGAUAACAAUAGGUUAGGCCAUUCAAUCUGGUGUUCAUCAAUAAUCUACGUCCCACAAGCUCUACCAAACAAAAUUUGAUUUUAUAAAAGAAUUUCUGAUUGCCGAGUUGCUCCUCGGAUGUAAGCUUCUACACAUAUCACAUCUUUAAACACGGGCGGGGAGUAUCGCAUCACUAUGGGCCGUGGUUCUCCAAAAAUUUUAAAUUUUUUAUAUAUUAUAUAUCUUUUAAUGAGUUUUUAAUAUAAUUUAUAUUAAAUAAUUAAUAUAAAUAAAAAAUAAUAAAAUAAUUUCACAAACUCAUUUACCUUUACUCUGAUUUUUAAACUUUUCCCCCAACUCUUUUAAAUUUCUCCACAGCUUUUUUCCUCUCUUUAUUCUUCUCUUUCUCUUCUCUUUCGUUAUUUCAUUGUGAAAUUACAAAAAUAUAAAGUUUUUUUUAUCUUUUUUUAAUUUAUAUUAUUAUUCUUAUUUAUAUUUGUUUAUUUUUUUCAAGUUUAUUAUAUUUGGUCAUAUGUUCUAAGUUUUUAUAAAUUUUUUUCUUUAAAUGUCUACAAAUCAUAAAUCAUAUUUUUCUUUUUUUUUUGUUAUGUAGAUUUUAUAUUCAAUGAUUUGUCUUUAAAAAAUUAAAAAAAUAUUAUAUAAUUUUCAAAUAUAAGUUGUAGCAUUGCAUUAUUGGUUGUUAUUUAAAAUUUCAUCAUAAAAUAAUUUUUUUAUUAAUCUUAAUUAUAUAAGAGAUUUUUUAUAUGUUUUACGUUUUAUAUUUAAUUGAAAAAAAUUAUCUUUGAGUAUUUAUUUUUAAACAAACUUGAUUAUAUAAAAAAAAUUAUUAAUAUUUUAUAUCAUAUUUAAUUAUUUAUAUUUUAUGUGUUAUUCAUCUUCUUUUAUGAUUUCUCAACAAAAAUUAGUUAACUCCAUAUUUUCUUUAGAGAUGUUUAUGAUACGAAUAUUGCUUAUAUAAAAGUGUCUUUUCACUUGAAAAAAUUAGCUGGCAUGUUAUGUUUCAAUUAAUUGAUAAUAAAAAGUAAUAAAAAUUAUUAAUUUAUUAUAUUAUUAAAAGAAUUUGGAUUUACCGCUUUUAAUUAAUAAUUUUAGAGUUGACAUUUGACUAUCAGUGGAUUGAAGUUUUCUGAUCCGAAAGGCAGAUGAGGAACAACAAACUCAUGUGCUUGGUAUCCUACUCCUAUGGUCAUAGCCCAUAGGCUAAUUGAUUCAUUUCUAGGCUUAAUGGGCUCUGUGAUAUGGGUGGGCAGUCUGCUGCAUAAAGCAUGUUACUACAGUCAAGCUUACUACAAAUCAACCAGUUUAAACCGGGCUAAAGGCAACAAUCUCUGUGAGCUGGUUUUAAAAUGUCAAAUAAUUAAUCGUACAGUAUCCCUAAAUCCAAUUAAUUUGCAACUUGAAUGGACUUGGAAUUUAGAUUAAUUUAAACUUAGAACUAUUUAGACGAUCUACGAUAACCUAAGCAAAAUCCACUUAAAAUCUGAAUUAACCUCAUGAACUUCAAAUCUCUAGCAAAAUCAAUCUUAAAAAAUCCGAACAAUUUGCUCAAAUCACACUUAAACUUCAAACAAUUUCUUUUCUGAUCACUUUCAGAACAUUAUGCUUUCCAAUCAUAUGCGUUUCACAUAAUAGCAAACACUUGAUUGCCAACAAAGAAAAUGAGAAGUGGUUAGGAGACUUAAGGGUUAAUGGCUCACAAAAUAUUGUUCAAUGGAAGAUUUGGUCAAUAGAUAGCAUACAUAAUUUAUAUAAAAUUUUUAAUAGAUACAAGCCUUAAUUAAUAGGUUUAUAUUUAAUACAUUGACAAUGUAUAAUUUCUAUACACAAGGCAUAAGAUCAUACCAUCUCAUUAAAAAAUAAAUUCAAAAUUUUAAACAAUUUAAAAAUGAAUAUUAUUAAAUUUUUUUAAAAAAUAAAAAAAGAUAAAUAAUUUUUUUUAUCUCUCUAACUCUCUCUUAUUCAAUCUCUUCCUCUUCUUCCCUCAACAACAAUAGAUUCAAAAUCGUAAUUUUUUUUUGAAAAGUAAAAUUCUAAAUUCUUAAUUUUGAUUCUUCAAAGUAAUAUUUAUUAUGUCUUAUUCUUAAUUUAAUUCUUAAUAUUUAUUUCACUUUUUUAUUUGAAAUUACUUUAAAAAAAUGAUAACAUAAUAAGGUAAAAUCUUUGAUUUGUUCAGCAAUGGCUGAUUUGCCUUGGAGUAAGUAGAAUGAAAUGAAUAAAGCAAUUGGAAAAGGUGGAAAGCAAAACAUCAACUCUAAAGGAAUAUAAAUACAGCAGGUCUCAAUCUGCAUAGCAACGUGCAAUCACAAAAAAUCUAUAGAAGCCAGGCUUUCCUCAAUACCUAGCAAGUCCAUAUAUUCUUGGUUCGUUGGAAAUUAAACGGGACGAAACAAAAAUCUACCAAGUACAACCUCUUUUAGAUCUAUGAACAGAUAAAUCCAAAAAACAACCCUAAACAAAAAUUUGUAAACAAAAAUCUUUUUUUUUUCUUUGCCGCAUGAGUCCCACAACAUUAUCACGUUGAAACUACAAAAUGAUAUCUUUACAGCGUGAGUUUCAAAGGUGUUCGAGAAAAGUCUUUUUGUUCAUCAAAUUAUAGUGAUAAAUAAAUGUUCACAAUAUAUAAAAAAUGGUAGACUAAGAAGAUGAUUGAAAUAAAUAUUAUCUUUAAAAAUUAAAAUUAAGAUUUUAGAGUUUUGAAAUUAUAACAGGAGAAGAAGAACAAGAGAAGAAGAGAUUGAGUGAAAUGGAGUUGAAUAAAAAAAUUAUUUUUAAUUUUUAAAAAAUAAUAAUAUUUAUUUUUAAACCUCUUAAAAUUUUAAAUUUAUUUUUUAGUGAAAUGGCACCAUUUGAUGUUUUAAUAAUGUAUAAAAGUUAUGUACUAUCAAUGCAUUAAAAAUAAAUUUUGAUAUAAUUCUUGUUCAUUGUCAGCAGAAAAAGUUGUCAUGAAAGUCGAGUUUUAUAAUUUUUUUUUCAAAUUUAUAUUAAGAAUUAGCUUCAGGUCAAAAAGGCUCUAUUAAGUCUUCACCUAAUCCUUCAAAAGAAAAAAACAAAAUAAAGUCAUUCCCAAAGGUUCACGUCUCUUUUCACCUCCCCUGCAAGCAAUCUCUUUGCAGUACAAAUAAAGGAUAGGCUUGAUUAAGUCGUCACCUAAUCCUUCAAAAGAAAAAUAUAAAAGGUCAACCCCAAAGGUUCACGUCUCUUUUCACCUCCUAUGCAAGCAAUCUCUUUGCAGUAUAAAUAAAGGAACUCAAUAAACUCAUAUGCACAAAAUUAGCUUUAGAAAAAUGAAGUCUCCCCACCUUUUAGUAUAUCUAUUUCUUUUCGCUGCUCUCUUCUCAUUGUCAUGGGCAACUUCGGCUCAUACUCAUGAGCGUUUUCUUCAUUGUCUUUCCCUUCGUUCCGAGAACUCCUCUUUCAUUUCUAAAAUCAUCUAUACACAACAUAAUUCUUCCUAUUCCUCUAUUUUGGAGUUUUCUAUGCAUAAUCUCAGGUUCUCCACGCCAUCUACCGCCAAACCUCAAGUCAUUAUAACACCAUUUCAUACAUCCCAUAUUCAAGCAACAAUUUACUGUUCAAAAAAACAUGAACUCCAAAUUAGAACUCGAAGUGGUGGUCAUGAUUUUGAAGGCCUUUCUUAUGUCUCUGAAGUUCCAUUUGUCAUAAUUGAUCUGAUUAAUUUUCGAUCAGUUGACAUUGAUGUGGAAAACAAAAUUGCAUGGGUUCAAUCUGGUGCAGUUCUUGGUGAGCUAUAUUACAGAAUUGCUGAAAAAAGUAAAACUCUUGCCUUCCCAGCUGGUAUUUGUCACACUGUAGGUGUUGGUGGAUAUUUUAGUGGAGGAGGUUAUGGCUUAUUAUUUCGAAAAUACGGUCUUGCCGUUGAUAACAUAAUUGAUGCUCAAUUCAUUGACGUUAAUGGACGAAUUCUUGACAGAAAAGCCAUGGGAGAAGAUUUGUUUUGGGCCAUUCGAGGAGGUGGAGGGGGUAGCUUUGGCAUUGUUAUCGCAUGGAAAUUAAAGCUGGUUCCGGUUCCAGCAACUGUGACUGUUUUCACCAUUAGCAGAACAUCAGAACAAAAUGCGAUCAAACUUGUCCACCGUUGGCAAUAUGUUGCACACAAGCUUCCCGACGGAACAUUCUCCUUGGUUGGCUUAAGUAGUGUGAAUUCUAGUCAAGAUGGGAAAAAGACGAUUUUAGCUUCCUUUAGGUUAUUCUUUCUCGGUGGCGUUGAUGAGCUUGUUCCAUUGAUGCAAGAGAGAUUUCCAGAGCUUGGACUAGUAAAGGAAGAUUGCACUGAAAUGAGUUGGCUUGAAUCUAUUCUCUACUUCGGUCAAAUUCAAAAUAAAUCCUUGGAUAUUUUGCUUGAUAGGACUUUCCAAAGUCCUCUCAUUAGUCCAGCCUUCAAAGCAAAAUCUGACUAUGUAAAGGAACCUGUUCCUGAAAUUGCGUUAGAAGGGCUAUGGUCAAAGCUUUUUGAGGAAGAAGCAAAAUCUGCCGGUAUAGUUUUUGUGGCUUAUGGGGGGAUAAUGGAUGAGAUUCCAGAGACUGCAACUCCAUUUCCGCAUAGAGCUGGCAACUUAUACAAAAUCUUAUAUACCGUAGGUUGGCAAAAAGAAGACAACAAAAAUUCCCAGAAGUACAUAAGUUGGAUUAGGAGAGUUUACAGCUAUACGAGCUCCUUUGUUUCACAAUCACCACGAGAGGCAUACAUCAAUUAUAGAGAUCUUGACAUUGGAAUUAACAGUAAAGGCAACACCAGUUAUGCACAAGCAAGUAUUUGGGGUUAUAAAUAUUUUAGGAAUAACUUUGAUAAGUUAUUGCGGGUGAAGACAAUGAUUGAUCCAGAAAAUUUCUUUAGACACGAACAAAGUAUCCCUCCGCUUUUGUCCGUGCGGAAGAAGACAGGAAAUUAGAGUAUAUAUAACCUUGGUGGACACUGUUACUCAUAAAGCACACAAUAAAUGAUUUUUAUGGAAAUCAUAGUGCUAGACAAAAUGUUUGAUUAGUUCUUUGUUACCGUUUCUGGCUGGCAUAAUGCAUGAGUGGUAUGCAUAGCCUAAUAAAUAACAUACCAUUAAUUACCUUUGGUUGAAACAAGGUAAUGUGUGUUGACAAUAAUAAAUUUUAGCCUUCUUUCUCCAGAUUUCAUUGUUGGAUACAAUAAUUUUUAGCUUCUAACCCUUGUCUGUUCUAAAAGAUUCAGAAUAGUGUAAUGCAGCACAUUUUUUCUAAUUUGUUGUGCCAAAAAAUUCUCUGGCUUUUUCAAAGACUUCACGGAAAAGUUAUCUAAUGUUGAAUCAAUAUCUUCCAAAGAACAGAAAGGGACAUGUCUCCUCUUGUGUUCAUAUAGGCUAUUCAAUGUUCCUACACAUCAAAGACCUUUGUUAUAGGAAUUUAGAAUAUCCUCUUACUCACUAUUCGUUUGUGCUAGAGUUCAAAAUUUCAGACACAAAGCUAUUUAGUCAUUGAAAUUAACAUCAAGUUUACGAAAUUAAUUAAUAUAUUUAGUUAAUAUAAAAUAAAAGUUUAUACAUACAUUUUUGAAGCUUUUUAAUGUAGCAAUAGUUUUUAUGUCAAAUACCCACAUCAACAGUGCCUUGUCAAUAUGUCAUGUACCCAUGUUAUUAUGUCAGCAAAAAUGUGCCACCUCAACGCUAACAUCACCUGAUUUAAAGGUUAAAUUAAAUGCCGUUAAAGAAGGUAUUAAAUUAGAGUAAUUUUUAAAAUCGAUGAAUUAAAUUACUUUAAAUUAAAGUACAAAUACUAAAUUGAAAAAAAUAUAUGAAUACAAAAACCUUUUGGAUAUUUUGACCAUUAAUUAAUCAUCACAUAUUAUUUGUCUGAAAUUGUUAGUUACUUACAUUUUAAUUUGACUUUUUGCAUUUAUUAUUUUGAAUACUUAUUGCAGUGGGCAGGCUAAUUAACCAAGAAAAAAAAUGGAGGCACCAUAUUGCCUUUUCGCAGUGUAUUUAAUAUUUGUUUUGGGGAGUAAUUAAAGUACUCACUAACAUACUAAUUUUAUGAAAAAAGUUUGUGGGGAUCAGGGGCCCUUACGGCAGCCGCCAUCCUCUUUGGCCUCGCCCCUCCUAUCCUACGUUUAACCCUUUUGAUAGACAUGGAAGGUCUUCAUGGAGACUGGAGGGAGUAGUAUUUACAGUUACACCAAAAAAAUAGUACCAAGUAUUUUCUAUGUGAGCUGGAAAUAAAAGAGAAUGUGCGCUGGAAGAAGGUUCGCUAAAGAUUUGAUAAUUGAUUCGUAUAACAUGAGAUUGUGAUCAAAGAUGGGAUAUAAUGUUAGUAUUAUAUACUUGAAAGGAAGUGUCAUCAUUUUGUCACGCCUCAACUUAAAUAGUGGCCACGUUUGAAGUGGCCUUUUGCAGGUUUUGCUUCUCCAUGUUUUGACAGGUGGAGUCUUGAGAAAGGAGUUGGGGAUUAAGUUGGGGGCUCACAUGUGAUGGGUUGCGAUUAGAGGAGUUUUAUAGUUGAGGUGUAGAGGUUAGAAAAGAGUAGGGAUAAAGUGGAAAGAAAAAGAAAGAUAAGAUAAAAAAUUUUGAAAAAAAAAUUGGGUGAAAAAUUCAGAUUUGAUGAAAAAGGGAAUGGGUAAAAAAAAAAGAGAUGGAGAUCUAUAUGAGAGAAAGGUAAGUCUGGGUUGAGAGGAAGAUGUGGGAGGAAAAAAUAGAAAAAAAAAAGGAAAAAUUGAGAAAAACGAAUGGGUGGUUUUUUAAUUGAGAUUUGAUUUUUUGUAGUUUUUCUUUCUUUUUUAUUUUUUGUUAUUAUUUUUUUAAUAUUUAAUUUUUUAUUGAUUGCAUUUAUAAUUUUAUCUUUUUUUAUAACUUUUUUUCUUACGAUGCAGGAAAUAACAAAAAAAAAUCCUAAUAAUGCAUUAUAUAGAUCUGUUAGUAAUAGUAUUACUUAUACAUGAUAGCAUUGUGAAAGAUCAAAUAAGUUCAAAUUUGAUGAACAAGUUCAUUUUAAAUAAGUUUAAUACGUCAUCACAAUAUCUUUUAAUUUUUAAAAAUUUAUCUUUACACAUUACAAUGUAAUUUGUAAAUGAUAUUUUGAUUAUCUUUUGUUUUUAACGAUUAUCCUUAUUAAUGUAAAUUAAUUUCAUAUCUUAUUUAUAUAUAAAAAAAUUGUACCCAACGUGUAGCAUGGGCUACACUCUAGUAGUCUAAAAAGGAAUAUAUCUUUUUGGUGGUUUAACCCAAUGUAAAUUUAUAAAUUAAAUAAAGCUGAUAAAAAUCUACACUUAUUUUUAAAGACAAAAUAUUAGUAUUAAUUAAGUUUUUAAUUAAUUUUCUUUGAUUAUUGGUUCUUUUCUUUUAGAAAUCCUGCUAAAUAUACAUUUUUUUCAAAAAAAUUUAAAGUAAGUAGAAUCAAAGAAUAAUAGUCAAAACAAAAAACAACUAGUAAUCGAGACAACAUCACAUCCACUUGAUGUGUAUGAAAAUUAUAUUGUCAUAAAAUCAAGCCAUAAAACAUACAAGCAAUAGAAUCAUCACCCAUAAAAAGUUUAGCACCAAACUGGUGGAAGACUUCUCUUGGCAUAGAAAGUUAGUUUUGGAGAGGGCAUUGCCCUUGACAACAAGCAAAAGAAUGUUGGGAAAAAAGCCUUUGGCAGCAAUGACGAAAGAAAAUAUCCCCUGAUAAAAAUACGGGCUACAAAAGAUCCUAAAAAAAUUACCAAAAACCUAAUUUUAACAACUAAAACACAUAAGUAAUUUUAAAAGUAAAAACCCCAAAGUCACAACAUGUAGUUAGUCCCAAGCAGUCCAACCUUAACCUCAUUAACUACUAAGGAUCACAAGAAGCUUCAUAACCCUUCUCGAACCUUCAACGUUCCACUGUAUUAAAAAUAAUAGAGCCUUACCAAUUCCUACAAACUAGCUCAACAACAAACCAAAGCCACGAUCAGGGUUUAAUUGAAAAAAUUACAAAGUUGACAACAAGGAGAAAAAACCCCAUUGACCUCGAUAACUAAUCACAGAUAUGAAUGGAAAAGAAAUCCCCCAUCAACUUAUCAUGAUUGUAGCACUCAAGGUUCAUCAAUUAAACACCAAGGUGCCAUCGUAGCCUUGUCACCCACACCACACCUCAAAACUAGUGAAAACCCUUUCUUUACCCACCCACAAAGUCCUUCAAGCAAGAGAUCAAGAACGAAAACAAUCCCACACCACAUGAAAAUUUUACAAGCAAAGUCCCUUUCCUUGAAAACCCCCACCACAAUGACCCACAAACAUCCCAAGUCUCAAAACCUUUUUCACUUGAAACUAUCUCCACCCUCAAAAAAAGAGACAAGAAAAAAAAAAACAUCAACCUUAUGCAAAUAUGUCCUAACCACCCACCUCCCCUUUCCCUUAUUAAUUUAUGAACCCAAAACAAAAGCAUGAAAAUUCCAUACACAAAUCAAUGAAACCGGAAGAUCCAUCACAUAGGAAAAAAAGCACACCUAUAUAUUGAUGCCUCCGAAGAAAGCAAACUUUCUAAUGGAGUAAUGUUUUUUCUUUUUUCUUUUCUUUCCUUUUUUUCCUUUCUCUCUCUUUUUUUAAUAAAAUUAUUCCAUUAUCCUUAUUUUCUAAUCCAACACAAAUACUCAAAGGGCCUUUAUAUGAAACUCGCUUUAUUAAAAUCCUCCACCUAUCUCUAAGUACAUCUUAACCCUAUGAACAAGUAAUGAAUCAAGCUCAAAACCCUUGGUGGCUCCGUACCAAACUCAACAAGAUCAGAGAGAAACAAAAUACAUUAUGGCUAAAAGACUAAGAAAGAAAGAGCUUCCCCUAUUCCCUCUCCUCCCCUCUCCCAUAAAGAAAGAGCUUCCCCUAUUCCCUCUCCUCCCCUCUCCCAUAGUCAAGAGAACACAACAAACAAAAGGUCCUUACCCUAGCAGCAAAAAGACCUUUAUUUUAUGCUCAAUCCCUCUACAUUUCAAAGCAAUCCUUUCUAAGACAACCCACAAAAUCAUGUAGUCUUAUAAACAAUAAAAGCAUAAAUCAUUAAUUUAAAAGAUGAAAAACCAACCCUCUUUAAAAAAAAUCAAAUAAGAAUAAAGGUGAAGGAGAAGCAAAAAUGCACAAUUCUAUCACACAAGGCAAAAAACCUAUCCUCCCUAAGAAAAUAAGUGAAAGAGAAAAGUACUACUCCUAUGCCUCAUGCGUUUCAAAAUUUCUUCAGUCAGGUAAAAUUUUUCUAAUCUUUUUUCUUUUUUUUCAUUUUUCCUCUUUUUUUUCUCUUUUUCUCUUUUUAGUUUUCCUACUUUCCUUCAUGCCUUCAACUCUCUCUGCAUCUAAGAUGAAAAAUUAUUAAAAAAGAAAGAAAAGGCAUGCCAUUUUUAAGACCUACACAACACUAAUGGUAGGAAAAAGUUAGAACAUCAUUCAUGAAAAACAUCACUACUAAGUUACUAAAAAGGAAAACUCUCCCUUUUUGUCACCAUUCACUCGGUACCACCCUCAAAUUAGUCCAACACUAGUACCAAAUCUCCCUCACUUUGAAGGCUUGACUUUGUCAAGUCAUUUUUCAUCUCAUUUGCUCCUCUAGCGAUUUUUCUAACCUGCCACUCAUCUAAGCUUAUCUGUAAGCCCACUAGACCUAGCUAGUGCUUUACUCGAAUCUAGUACACAUCCAACAUUUAUCAAGUCACUCUUAAUUAUCAAUGAUUGGUUCUCCACCCACUUCGAGACACCAAACAAUUUAAAGCAUCCUUAAUUGCUAGUACUUUAGCCGUGUUGACCAUUAUGACCCCUAAUAGUUUUGAAAACAUUAAUUUUACUGCUCUUUUCUCAUCUUUCAACACUCCACCAAUGGCUAUUAGGCUUGGGCUCUCCCUCACAGCCCCAUCAACAUUAAACUUAAGCCAACCUUUAGAGGGUGACUCCCAAUUUGUAACCAUUCUUUUUUUGUUUCAAGGGCUUUGUGGUUUGUUUAUUUUUGGGCAUUUCAUAGUCUCCGUCACUUUUCCUAAGUUUCUCGACCAUCGUGCCUUCGCCCAUCAUGCAACUCUUAUCCUAGCAAUAUCUAAACAUUGCUCACUAUCCCACACAUUGCCUUAAAAAACCACCUCAUUCCUUAUUAAACAAAUGCAUUAGGUAAUGAUGAAGAACGUCAAUCGCCACAAUCUUCUAUCUCCUUUGUGUAAUAAUUCAUUCCAAUCAAGGAAAAAUUGAACUACCUUGUCUUGCGCCACUCAACUAAUACCCCAUUGCCUAAUCCACCUCAUCCAAAUCUUCCAACUCUUGUACAUCAAAAAAAUUGAUUAUCACCUAUUCCUUACUAUCCCUACACAAAACGCACACUAUUGAGCUAGUCUAGAGUAACCCCCUCUUAGCCAACUUUGCCUUAACUACAAUUUUACCCCUAAAAAUCCUCCAACAAAAUAUCUCAACCUUCAUCGAAGCUAUUCCUUACCACAACUUUUUUUAAUGAUCCCUUACACUCUUAUUCCUUGCUACCAUCGAUAUGCAAUAAGAGCUCAUUAAAUACACUACACCAAAUCUGUAUUUCUAGAUAACUGUAUCCUCAUAUUCCUCCACCAUUGGGUUCUCACUUAUAGCCUUUAUGAAACUAUCCCACUAUUCCACUUCCCAUUCAAACAAGUUGCGUCUUAGCUUCACUUGCCAUUUCCAUUCCCCUUCCACCCAUUGAUAAUACUCUUUAACUUUACUUGUCUUGUUAUCUACUAAUGCAUAUAUCCUAGGAAAAGCUUGCCUCAGAGUUAGUCUUUUUGACUAUUCAUCAUUCCAAAAAUCAAGCCAUUCCUCUUUCCCUAAAAUGAAACCAAGGUUUCCCUAUAAGAUUGAGCUACUUUCUCAACCCUCUCUAAUAGGUUUGACUAUGUUCUUCCAAAUGAAAAAUUGCUUAUUCAACCUUCAUGACCGUGGAAGCAAAGCUCGUGGGUUACUAUCAAUUUUAUCAACAAUAACCUUUCUCUAUAGAAUGUCCCUUUCAUUCUGCGUAUCUCCAUAUCCACUUAUUGAGCAAAGUUGAAUUUCUUGUUUGUAAGUCAACCUAACCUAACACUCUAAACUCGUUAUACAUAUAAAUAGACCCUUAAUCCACAUAAUGGAUUUUUCUCUCAUCCGUCGUCCCAUUCCACAUAAAUUUUUACUGAUUCUGUUUUAACUCCUGGCUUACCGUUAUCGACAUCCUAAAUAAUGACAUAUAAAAAGUAGGCAAACUCAUUAUAAUUGAUCUAAUAAGGGUAACUCUACCUCUUAAUGACAGCAUUAUACUUUUCCACCAUUUUAACCUACUCUCAAACCUUUUCACUACUGGUCUCCACAUCUCUUUGAACUAGUUUUAACUCUUAAUGGCAAACCUAGGUACCUAGAAGGGAACUUUUCCAUCUUAUAAUCGAUCUUGCCUACCCACUCUGCAAUAUCUCCUCUUUCGGGCGUAUCUUAAAAGGGCUACUCUUUUGAAAAUUAAUCCUAAGACCUAAAAUCAAUUAGAAACACCUCAGUAUCCUUCUCACGUUCUUAAUUGAUUCCCACUCUAGCUUACAUAUUUUUGUUCUAUCAUCAGCGAAUUGCAAAAGUGACAUAAUUAGCCCUCUAUUGGUUAUGUCAAUUCCUCUGUAUACUCCUAACUUAACUGCCUCACUCAUUAAGACACUGAAAGUUUUUGUGGCACAAUUGAAUAGGAAAAGAGAUAAUGGACAGCCUUGUCGUAAUCCCUUCCUUAUCCUAAAUUGUCUGGUGGGAACUCCAUUAACCAACACUAAUAUCCUAGCUGUCAAUAUACAAGCUCUAAUCUAACUCUUCCAUUUCCUUCCAAAUCCCAUUUUUUCAUACACAAAAUCUAAAAACUCCCAGCUAAUUGUGUCAUUGUCUUUUUUCAAAUCUACUUUGAAAAAUGGCCCCUCAUCCCUAUCCCUCCUCAUGUCAUCCACAACUUCAUUAACUAUAAAAGCACAAUCCACAAGUUCUUUCUUUCGUGAAAAUGAAGUGUUUGUUGCCUACCACCUCCUCUGUAACCGACCUUAACCUAUUAGCUAGUAUCUUAGCAAUGAUCUUGUAGAUACUUUCUACUAGGCUUAUAGGUCGGUAGUCCUUAAUGCUUUUUGAGGUUUUGCACUUAAGUAUAAGUGUAAUGAAAAUGGCAUACCUAACAAAUAAUUAAACAUAAAAAGACUAAAAUGAAUAUUAAAAAAAAGUAAGAAAGAUAUUAUUAGUGAUAAAAGAAAAGUGUAUAAUAUACUUUAAUGAAUUCCUAUCAUCUUAAAGAUAACAAUAGGUUAUGCCAUUAAAUCUAGUGUUCAUCAAUAAUUUGAGUUCCACAACCUCUACCAAUCAAAAUUUGAUUUUGUAAAAGAAUUUUUGACUGCCAAGUCGCUCCUCUAUUGUAAGCUUCUAUACAUAUCACAUCUUUAAAAGUGUUUCUGACACGAAGAUUACGUAUAUAAAAAUGUCUUUUUACGUGAAAAAUUAGCUGACAUGUUAUAUUUUAAUACUUAUCUAACAAAAAAUAUAAUUUAAUUGAUAAUAAAAAAGUAAUAAAAUUAUUAAUUUGUUAUAUUAUUAAAAGUAUAUGGAUUUAUCACUUUUAAUUAACAGUUUUAGACUUGACACUUGUAUAUAAAUGGAUUGAAGUUUUAGUGAUCCGAAAAGCAGAUGAGGGAUAACUCACUCUUGUGCUUGGUAUGUUUAACAAAGUAGUGUUGCCUCCUACUCCUAUGGCCAUAGCCCAUAAGCAAAUUGAUUCAUUUCUAGGCUUAAUGGGCUCUGUGAAAUGGGUGGGGAGUUCGCUGCAUGAAGCCCGCUACAAAGUCAUGCCUACUCAAAGUCAACCAGUUUAAACCUCGGUAAAAGUCAACAAGCUCUGUGAGCUGGUUUUAAAAUGUUAAUUAAUUAAUUAUAUAGUAUCCCUAAAUCCAAUUAAUUAGCAACUUGAAUUGAUUUGGAAUUUAGAUUAAUUUAAACUUAGAACUAUUUAGACGAUCUAUGAUAACCCAAGCAACAUCCACUUAAAAUCUGAAUUAGCCUCAUGAACUUGAGAUCUCUAGCAAUGUAAAUCUUAAAAAAUCUGAACAAUUUGUUUAAAUCACAUUUGAACUUCAAACAAUUUCUUUGCUGAUCAGUUUUAGAGCAUUGUGCGUUCCAAUUAUAUGCGUUUCACCUUGAUUUGACAACGAAGAAAAUAAGAAGUGGUUAGGAGAGUUUAGGGUCAAUGCCUCACAAAAUGAUGUUCAAUAGAAGAUUUAGUAAAUAAAUAGCAUAACUAAUUUAUAUAAAACUUUAAAUAAGCUCUAACAGAUACAAGGCUUUGAUUGAUUAGCAUAAACCGAAAAGAAAAUGACACCCCAACACAGAAAAUAAGACAAUAGGAAUUGGUUAAGAGAGUUUAGGGUCAAUGGCUCACAAAAUAAUGUUCAAUCGAAGAAUUGGUAAAUAAAUAGCAAAUGUAUAACUUUUUUUUUUAGGGAGGUGUAUGAUAGUUUGUUGGUGCAUGUCCUGUAUCUCUCACUUGGGAGCUAAUUGUUACAAUAAUUUAAUUUUAAUUGUAGGUAGGCCAAAUGUGAAAAAUAUAGUUGGGAAAUCGUCUUAAACAUAAUUAAUUAAAAUAACACUUAUUUCAGAUAUUAAUUAGAACAUAAUUAACGUUGUGAAAAGAAAAUCAUCAUUUUUUUUAAGAUAAAUUUUACAUAAAUCUUUUGUAAAAUUAUAUUUUUUUUCAAGUAACAUUUUAAAGAUAUAAUUCUUUUUUUUUAGUUUUUUGUACUGAUAAUAAAAUAAUCAAUAACCAAGUUUUGAAUUUCUGAAAUAUUUUGAGUUGGAUCAGGAGACUUUACAAUCAUAUGACCACUUAUGUUUCAAAAUCUCCGCGAGAAGCAUAUUUUAAUUAUAGGGAUCUAGAUAUUGGAACCAAUAACGUCGGCUAUACAAGUUAUGCACAAGCCAAUAUUUAGGGUCUGAAAUAUUUUAAGAAUAACUUCAACAGAUUGGUACAUGUAAAGACUAUGGUUGAUCUUGAAAAUUUCUUUAAAAAUGAACAAAGUAUCCUUCCUCUUUCAUCUUCGCCGAAGAACAAGGGUCUCUAGAGUAAAAGCGUUCAGAUUUUGUUAAGCAUGAAUAAAGAUGUCAAUGAAAAGUACAUUGCAAAUAAAGAGUUUCUUUGUUCCUAUUUCUGCCAUGAGAGAUUCAUGCCAAGUCUAAUAAAUUAUAACCUUACCUUGGUUUUGCAGCAAACUUGGUGUAGUUUUUGUUUAUCUUUUUUUUUUUUUGGCUUUAAGUUUGACAGUAACAAACUGCCUCAGAAUGUGUUAACAGAAGGCAGGGGUACAAGACCCCUGCAUAGUCAACAAACAGAUUAAGUUUAACAGAAAACGCAGGCGACAGGCUCUGAUACAUUUGGUAUUUUUGGUAUCUCUAUCGGAUAGCUUGAAGCAAAGCUUUGGAAUAACAGAUGAUUGUGCUCUAGGGAUAAAACCACACCCUUUCCUCGUGGAGUCACCACAACCUCAGAGUCCAAGUUCCACAGUGAAAUUGGCAAAGUAUAAUGUUUCUUUCUAAUCAGGCUAAAUUUAGAGCUUCAGAAUCCUUAAAGCUCAGCACAAGUACUCCCCUGAACAAGUCUAACAAAAUCAAUCUUAAAAAAUUCAAAGAAUAUGCUCAAAUCUCACUUGAGCUUCGAGCAAUUUCUUUUCCGAUCACUUUCAGAACAUUGUGCUUUCCAAUCAUAUGCGUUUCACAUAAUAGCAAACACUUGAUUGUCAAUAAAGAAAAUGAGAAGUGGUUAGGAGAAUUAAAGGUCAAUGGCUCACAAAAUAUUGUUCAAUAAAAGAUUUGGUAAAUAAAUAGCAUAUAUAAUUUAUAUAAAAUUUUUAAAUCAGAUCUAAUAUAUACAAACCUUUAAUUAACUAGUGUAAACCACACUACGAUAUUUUUUGGGCUUUGUAAAUAAAAUAGAACAUUUUUCCGGUUAUGCUUGAGGUUACAAUUUGAUUUAUUUUAAAAAUAUAAAUUACUUGAAGUUUUUGUUUAACAGGUAGAGUAUAUACAACCCUCAUUCAUUUAAAAAAAUUCUCACUUAUAAUUUUUUUAUAAAUCACUACUUUAAAAUGUUUUCCAAAUAAUUAUUCUUUAUUAUUCAAUUUAAUUAAAUCGUCAUUUUCAUUACAUUUUUUUGACUAAUUGUUUACUAAUUAAUUAAAUAAUUUUAUUAAUCAAAAUAGACACAUAAAAUAAAAAAUAGUAAUUGAGUUUGAGAUUUAUGCAUGAGUGGGCGAACUCUUCUAAAAACUUGGGUUGUAUUUCGGCCGGCACACUUCAAAGAUCAACCAGACUAAGGGCCGGAUCUGAACGGGUCUGGCUGAUCCGACCCGCUUCCUCUCAUUAGUCUUUCCCGUUUUCCUUUCCUAUCUCUUGAAACGGCGCCGUUUAAGAUCCUUACCCAAAAGCCCCUAAAAUCCCAUUUUCUGAUUACUCAACGCCUCUCCUCCUCUCUAAAAAUCCUCACCUUUCUUAACCUCCUCUCCUUUCGCCACCGUUCCGCCGUCGGCCACUGCUGAAACACCUCUCUUUUCUUUUCCUCUCCCUCUCUUCCAUCUAUCUUUUUACUGAUGUCCUUUUCCUCCAAAACAUUUCUUUUUCCCUGAAAAAGGACUAAAAACUGAAACCCAUUCCCCAAACUUCUGGCCGCCGUCGCUGUCAGUCGCAGCAGGAAUUCUCCUUCAUUCUCACCCUUGCCCUUUCCUCCAGAAUUCCGCUGGUUGAUUUCAAGCAGCAAUUAUUGCUCAAGAAAACAUGAGGUACAGCGACUGUGACUGUAUUCGCCAUUAGCAAGACCUUAGAACAAAAUGCAAUCAAAUUUCUUCACCGUUGGCAAUAUAUUGCCCAUGAUCUUCCUGAUGAAAUGUAAUCCUCGGUUACUUUAAAUAGGCAGAAUUCUAGUCAAGAUUGGAAGCAAACAAUUCUAGCUUCGUAAUGUAGCGGUAGCCUUUAUAUCAAAUAUAGACUCCAUAAUUCCAGCUUGCUUUUAGCUUUAAAAAAGGUCAAAGUGAGCUGUUAUGUCCAAUACUAAAGUUCAUGAUUAGUGGGUGGCCGUGUCACCUGUUGGCUCUCUCUAAGCAACCGUGACAGCUGGCCCUGCUUGAUGAUUCUUCGAACACCUUAUUUCAAACAAAUGCAACUUGCGUUUACCCUUUACUGCAGAUUUUAAAUUUAGUAAUCAUUUCAAUCUCCAGUCAAGUCAAGUAAAUAAUUUUUUAAAAAUAUAUAUAUAAAUAAAUAAAUAAUCAAUAAAAUAAAUUCUUUAAAAACAAAAAACUUAGAUGAAAGGAUAUACAAGCAUCAUAAAAUAAAACCUAUCUGGAUAUUGUACAAAUAAUGGACAAAUAUCCAGAAAAGUCCUGCUGAAUGACUACAUGCCCGAAUCCACCAGCAAUAUUAAAAAAGACUUGUCUGAAAAAGCUUUUAAUUAACAAUAAAAGCAGACCGAAUUUAGUGGUAUAUGUCCUACCAAAACCGCACUUAAGUCUGUCCGCAAACAUCAUAAUGACGUAGACCGCCACGCAUAAUGAGGUACACAUCUAUUUCAAGUCACUUUCGCGAACAAACUGGAACCUCAUCCACACCUCACGAUCCAUAUCCAGUUGAUCGAAUUUCGAGGUAUUUGUCCAACUAAAACCGCACUUAAGUCUAUCCGCAAGUCAUCAAAAUAAGGUAGACCGUCACUCACAAUGUGGUCCACAUCUCGUUCAAGCCACUUAAGCUUACAAAUUGGAACCUCAUGCACACCUCACGAUCCAUAUCCAGCGGACCGAAUUUCGUGGUAUAUGUCCAAUCAAAACCGCACUUAAGUCUAUCCGUAAAUCAUCAUAAUAACGUAGACCGCCACUCUUAAUGAGGUCCACAUCUAGUUCAAGCCACUUAAGUGUACAUACUGGAACCUCAUGCACACCUCACGAUCCAUAGCCAGAUGAUUCAAAACCGCUCGGCACACUCCAAGGUAAAAUCAAACUCUUACCCAACAGAAAAUCUAUUGUGAUUAAAACUCAUAAUUAUAAAUAAUAAAUAAAUAUUUAUAUUGUAAAAAAAAAUAAUAGAAACAGAAAGAAAAGAGAGAUGAGAGAAAGUUUUUUAUGUAUUAUUAAAAUAAUGUUUGGUAUGAAAAAUAUCUAGGUGGGGUGACCCAUGAAACUCUUUACAAAUCAAUGUUUAUUACAAUCUCCUAUUAAGAUAUAUAUCUCAAUUACAUUAUCUGUUUGAUAAAUCUUACAUUAUUACUUAAAAAAUAUUCACAUGUAUAUAAAUCUUAAAAUGUUUAAAAUGCGAAUAAUAUAUUUAUCAUUUAUUAAAUUUAUUUUAAUUUAAAUUGAUCUAAUAUAGUGUGAUAUGUCCAUAUUUCAUAACAAUUUGAUAUUUUAUUUUGCCUGAAAAUAUUGAUAUUUUUGUUUAAAAAUAGUCAAUUAUACUUUUGUUUGAAGUAUAGAAGAGGAGAAUUUUUUUUCAGGUAGAGUAUUAGCUAGAGGAGAAGAAUUUGCUAGCCUAGAAUCCUAGAUAUGCUCGAGCUAGGAACGAUGUACAGAAGAUCCAUAAUUCUAGUAUUUUACUCGAUUAUGAGCAUAAUAUUUAAAAUUAAUUUAGUUUUUAUUUUAAAAAAAGUAUAAGAAAAAGAACAAUAAUGUCAAUUGAAAAUUUUAAUUCAUCAAAUAAAUAAAUAAACAUUAGAAAAAUAAAAAAAAUAUUUGAUCAAUGAUUGUAGAAGAAAACAAAAAUAUUUAAUAAUUUAUUUUGCAAUAUCAUUUCAAAUAAUUUAGCAUUGUUCUUUCCUUACAUCCACACUUGUGUCAAUGAUUCAUCCUUUGUAAUGCUUUAAAAUUGAAUAGUUCUAAUCAAAAGCAGUCUCUUACCUACGGCUCCCAUCUGUAUUAGAAAUGUUCUAGAUGCUUAGAGCACAUUCCUUUGCAUUAGAAAAAGAAGUAGUGAUUAUUAUAAUUUGCUUUUUUAGUUGCAUCAGAAAUGUUGUAUUUGCGAAGAGAUAAGAUGAAUAUCCUCUCAACAAUGUUAUUAUCUAUAAAAUCAUAAGACUUUCAUAUAAAAUCAAAAUAUUUUAUUGAAUUACAUACAUUGAUAGAAAUCAUAGGACUUUCAUAUAAAAUCAGAAUAUUUUUAUUGAAUUACAUAUAUUGAUAGUCGGUGAUGCACCUUUAUAUACAGAACACUAUAGCUAAUCACAAUAUGUGUACUAAAGACCAUAUCAACUAAUGAAGGUAAUGUCCUACAAUCUUGCUAGGAAUUCUAGCCACGAAUCAUGCAAGUCAAUGAUUCUGCAAUUAUAGAAAAGAUUUUGCAAAUAUUAUGAAGAGCAGCAAUGAAAGGAUUCUGCAAAUAUUAUGGAAAUGAUUGAUUCUGUACAUCAAGAUUGUCAAUACUCCCCCUCAAGUUGGUGCAUGAAGAUUUGAGAUGCCCAACUUGGCAAGCAGUUCAAGAAAACGAUCUCGUCCAAGAGCUUUUGUAAAUAUAUCAACCAGCUGGUAUGUAGUGGAAAUGUGACAAGGAUAUAGUACCUUCAACUGAAUGUGAUGCCGAACGAAGUGGCAGUCUAUUUCGAUGUGCUUCGUUCGUUCAUGAAAAACUGGAUUUGAGGCAAUAUGGAUUGCAGCUUAGUUAUCACAAAAUAACGAAACAUGAGUAGAACAUAUGACACCAAAGUCACAAAGUAGUUGAAUCAACCAAAUUAUCUCACUAGUGAUUGUAGCCAUGGCUCUGUAUUCUGCUUCUGUCGAAGAGCGAGAAACAACUGUUUAUUUCUUUGCCUUCCAAGAAAUGGGGGAGGACCCAAGAAACAUAAUAUACCCAGAAGUAGAUCGCCGGGUGAAGGGGCAUCAUGCCCAAUCAGCAUUGCAAUAUGCACGAAGUGUGAGUGAAUUGUCAGAUGGAAGAAAGAUACCCUGGCCUGGUGCAUUCUUCAAAUAGCGGAGUACUCGAUAAGCGGCCUCCACGUGUGACUGUCGUGGAUCACGCAUAAACUGACUUAAUAUAUGAACAACGUAACUAAUAUCAAGGCGUGUGAUGGUAAGAUAAAGUAACUGACCCACAAGACGCUGAUAUUGUCCUGGAUCUUCACAAGGCUCGCCAGAUCCUGCAAUUAGUUAGUGGUGCUGCUCCAUGGGAAAUGCAGCAAGUUUACUACCCAUCAUGCCAUUUUCAGCCAAAAUAUCUAGCACGUACUUGCGUUGACAUAAGGCAAUGCCAGUAGGUGAUCGUGCAAUCUCAAUGCCAAGGAAAUAUUUUAAUUUUCUAAGAUCCUUGAUGUGGAAUUUAUAAUCUAAGUACCGUUUCAAGAAAUUAAUUCGAGUCGAAUCUGUGCCCGUGAUGAUGACAUCAUCCACGUAAAUCAAGACAGCAACAAGGGAUUUACCAUGACAUGAUGUAAACAACGAAUGAUCAGCAUGUGAUUGUUGAUGACCAAUGGCUAUGAGAGAGGAAGUAAAUUUUUUAUACCAAUUUCGCGAUAUUUGAUGGAGUCCAUAAAGAGAUUUUUGUAAUUGACAAACACGAUGCUCCCCCUUACGUGCAAAACCCUAUGGAAUCUUCAUGUAGACUUCUUUGUCCAAGUCACCAUGAAGGAAUUUAUUGUUUACAUCCAAUUAGAGUAACUCCCAUUUAUGAGCAGCAACGACAGCUAGUAGACAUCGAAUAGUAACUAACUUGGCAACCGGUGCAAAAGUCUCAUGAAAGUCUAUCCCUUCAACUUGAGUGAAACCUUUGGCCACUAGUUGUGUUUUAUAACGCUCCACACUACCAUCCGGAUUGUACUUGACUUUGUAAACCCAUUUUGAAUCAAUAGCAUGUUUACCUUUCGGUAGAGUGGUGAAUACUCACGUUUUGUUUUCCUCCAAUGCUAAAAUUUCUUUGGCCAUAGCGUUUUUCCAGUGAUCAUGCUUUAUUGCCUGAGAAAAGGUUUUUGGCUCAUUUGUGAUGGAAAUGGCCGCUAAGAAGGCAUUAUGAGUAUAAGAAAAUCGAUUAUAUGUGAGAUGCUUAGAUAAAGGAAAUAUCAAUGAGUUGGCUGAUGGUGGAGUGGGCUGUGAUGGAGCGAGAGAGGGCGGAAGCACAAAAUUGUAAUCUGCCAAUGUGCUAGAAAUUUUUCUAGUGCUUUUAGUUAGAGGAAGAGGUAAAGUUCUUGUGGAUUGAGUAAUUGAAGGUGCCACUGUCUCAACGGUUGUAACAUCAUGAGUGGGAGGAGUCCCAUGUGACCGAUCAUGACCCAAGACUUCCUCAUGAACAGUUGCAUGAUCAUUGGUAAACUAUGUAUUAUCAAGGCUUAGCUCUUUUGUGACCCGUGAGCCUGUAUGCCCCAUGUUAGGCUGUUCCGUGUGAUCCAACAAAAUGUGCUCAUGGUUGUUGCCCAUAAGAUUUGUUGUGUCUCUCAUAGAAUUUUUAUGAGAAUUUGCUAGUGGACCGCCAAUAUUUUGUUAAAUUCCUUCUGCUGCAAAAGGGAAAUAAUCUUCAUAGAAAGUAACAUCUCGAGAAGUAUAAAUGUACUUAUCUUCGAGAUUGAAAAUACGAUAUCCCUUUUGACCAUUAAGAUAGCCUACGAACAUUCAGGUUGAGAUCAUGGGGCAAAUUUAUCUCGAGGCCUGCUGUUUACAUGCCCAUAACAUAAGCAACCAAAGCUCCUCAAGUGCUUAUAAGUUGGAGCCUUUUCAAUCAAUAAUUCAUAUGGUGUUUUGUCUCGCAAAACAGAAAGAGGCAUUUGAUUAAUUAAGUAGGUAGCUGUCAAGACACACUCACCCCAAAAUUGAAUGGGCAGAUUAGCAUGAAAUCGUAAUGCCCUGACAACCUCCAACACAUGUCGAUGCUUACGUUCCACCACUCCAUUUUGUUAUGGAGUGUCAGUGCAACUAUAUUGAUGUUCCAUCCCAUUUUCACUGUAGUAAGUCAAUAAGUCCUCAUGGUUGAAUUCGAGACCAUUGUCAGUUCGCAGAAUCUUAACUGCCAAAUUAAAUUGAUUCCUCACCCAAUGGAAGAAAUGAAGCAAAUAUUUUCUUGUUUCAGACUUGAAUUUCAUAAGAUAAACCCAAGUGACUCAACUGUAAUCAUCUACGAUGGUAAGAAAAUAAUGUGCUCCUGAAUAAGAUUGAGUGCGAUAUAGACCCUAGAUAUCACAAUGAAUCAAUUCAAAAAUGCCAUUAGUUUUAUUCGUGCGAACAAGAAAAGGUAACUGUGUCUGUUUCGCUAUGCAGCAUGCAUCACAAAAUAAAUGUUUAUGAGUAUCAAAGUAACAAGAUAAGUUAGGAAUCACAAAGAAUUGAUGAACUGGUAGAUGUCCCAAUCGACGAUGCCAUAAACUCGCGUUCCAUUUCCUGUUUGCCACCAAUGCCAUGCCCCCUUUCGUGGAUUCCAAAAAAUAUAAGCCUCUCCUCGCUUUACCCACUCCAAUCAGCUUCCUAGAACAUAAGUCCUGUAUCACACAAAAAUCAGGCCAAAAUAUCAGCAUACAAUUCAAGUUCUUUGUCAGUUGUGUCACUGAUAUCAAAUUAUAACAAAACUCUAGUAUGCCAAGGACAUUAUUCAGAACCAAACUUUUGCCAAUGAUCACUUGCCCUAAGGCUCGCACAUCAACUGUCUCUCCAUUAGGAAUCUCGACUGGAGGUAUGUUAGGAUUUUUUACCACAUUGGAUAAUAUCUCAAUCUGACAAGUGAUAUGAUCGAUGGCCCCUGUAGCAAGGACCUAAGGUAUUAUAAAUGCAGUCUUACAAGAAAAAUUAUCAUUUAUGGAGUUUGCUGCCACCAUAUUUGCUGAAGAAGUUUUUUGGGUUUGUGUCUUUAAUAAAGCCAUCAGCUGUUGGUGUUGUGUACUUGACAGGCUCGGAAUUAAAAGAGAUCCAGUUUCCACAUUUGCUGCAAAAGACCCACCCACAUGUGUCCCUGUGUGUGAUGACGAUACACCAUUACCUCGACUUGCUUCUUGACCCCGUCUGCGACUUUGUGGUUUGCGCUACCAGGAAGGAUACCCAUUUAGCGCAUAACAGUUUUCACGUGUAUGGGUCAUCUUGUGGCAGUGGGUGCAAUGCAAAUUUUCAUCGCCGCUACUUCCAUAUUGACAAUCUUGAUGUACAGAAUCAAUUAUUUCCAUAAUAUGAAGAAAUCGGGGUCUUCUCUUGCUGGAGGAGAGCGAUGACACGUUUUAACUCAAAAACUCUAGGAGCAAUCCCUUGAGUGAAGCGUUUUUCCAAGUCUGACCAAACUUCACUUGCAAUGUCGGCAUGGGCAGCGCUUCCUUGGAUCUCUUUAGCUAGUGCAUUCAUUAGUCACGACAACACUAUUGUGUUGCAUCGCAUCUACAACUGAAAAUCUAGAGACUUAACAUCUGGUUUCUUUAUGCUUCCGCCCACGAAUCCUACUUUGUUCUUGGACUGUAAUGCAUUUAGGAAAUUAUGCCUCCAAGUGAAGUAAUUUUCACCAUUUUCACUAAGAGAAUGUGUUACGAAAAUCAAACCUAGGUGAUUAGAGGAAUGCAAAUGAUAUGGUGAAUUUGUAUCGACUGCAACGGUUUGGGAUGUAUUUGCAACCGGUAGCAAAUCCCCAUUAACGUUAUCUGUUGUACCUCCACACAUGCCUGCAAAACAGAUUUAAAAAAAGAGACCUGCUCUGAUACCAUAUACAAUCAUAGGACUUUCAUAUAAAAUCAGAAUAUUUUUAUUGAAUUACAUACAUUGAUAGCCGAUGAUGCACCUUUAUAUACAGAACACUAUAGCUAAUCACAAUCUGUGUAAUAAAGACCAUAUCAGCUGAUGAAGAUAAUGUCCUACAAUAUGGCUAGGAAUUCUAGCCACGAAUCAUGCAAGUCAAUGAUUUUGCAAUUAUGAAAAGGAUUCUGCAAAUAUUAUGGAGAGGAGUGAUGAAAGGAUUCUGCAAAUAUUAUGAAAAUGAUUGAUUCUGUACAUCAAGAUUGUCAAUAUUAUCUGUAGGCUGAAUCGAAAGCAUGACAAUAUAAUAUACACUAUCAUAUUUGUCAGCAUUAAUUUGUAUCUAACCUCAUACUGACUUGCUGCUGAUAAUAAAUGGUUUAUCAAAAGCACCAAAUUUGAAGCCUAAAAUCAAACGCACCUUACACUAGACAACUUUAUCAAAUAAAAGAUUCUCAAUUAAACAGUAAAAGUUAGUUAUGGAGAGACAAUUAAUUAAUCAUCACAUAUUAUUUGUCUGAAAUUUUUGGUUACUUACAUUUUAAUUUGCCUUUUUACAUUUAUUAUUUUGUAUGCUUAUUGCAGCGGGCACUGGGCAGGCUAAUCAACCAAGAAAAAGAACGAAGGGAGGCACCAUAUUGUCAAUCGCAAUGUAUAUAGUAUUUCUUUUGGGGACUAAUUAAAUUACUCACUAACUUACCAAUUUUAUGAAAAAGGUUUGUGGGGAUCAGGGGCCUACCGCCAGCCACCAUCCUCCCUCGCCUGGCCCCUCCUAUCCUAUGUUUAACCCUUUUGAUAGACAUGGCAGGUCUUCAUGGAGGGAGUAAAAUUUACAGUUACACCAAAAAAAUAAUAUCAAGUAUUUUCUAUGUGAGCUGGAAAUAAAGGAGAAUGUGCACUGGGAGAAGGUUCGCCAAAGAUUUGAUAAUUGCUUCAUAUAGCAUGAGAUUGUGAUCAAAGAUGGGAUAUAGUCUUAGCUCUUGAUGAGGUGAUAUAGUCUAAAAAGGAAUAUAUCUUUUAGGUGGUUUAACCCAAUGUAGAUUUAUAAAUUAAAUAAGGCUAAUAAAAAUCUAUAGACAAAAUAUUAGUAUUAAUUAAGUUCUUAAUUAAUUUUUUUAUAAUUUUUUUAAGAAUCUUACUAAAUAUACAUUUUUUUCAAAAAAUUUAAAAUAAGUAUAAUUAUAGAAUAACAAUCAAAACAAAAAACAAUUAGUGAUCAAGACCACAUCACACCAACUUGACAUGUAUGAAAAAAAUUAUAUUUAUUUUAUCAUAAAAUCAAGCCAUAAAACAUACAAACAAUAGAAUGAUCAGGCAUACCUAGCAAAUAAUUUUUUUUUAAAAAAAAAGGAUUAAAAAUAAUAUGAAAAAUAAGUAAGAAAGAUAUUAUUAAUUAUAAAAGAAAAGAGUAUUCUAUACCUCAAUGAAUUCUUCUCAGCCUAAAGAUAACAAUGGGUUAGGCCAUUCAAUCUGGUGUUCAUCAAUAAUUUACGUCCCACAAGCUCUACCAAAUAAAAUUUGAUUUUAUAAUAGAAUUUCUGAUUACCGAGUUGCUCUACUGAUGUAAGCUUCUAUACAUGUCACAUCUUUAAACACGGGCAGAGUAUCCUUUCACCACGGGCCGUGGUUUCUCCAAAAUUUUUUAAAUUUUUUAUAUAUUAUAUAUCUUUUAAUGCGUUCUUCAAUAUAAUUGUUAUUAAAUAAUUAAUAUAAAUAAUAAAAUAAUUUCAGAAACCCAUUUAACUUUACCCUAAUUCUUAAACACCUCCCCCCCCGACCCUUUUAAAUUUCUCCACAGCUUUUUCCUCUCUUUCUUCUUCCCUUUUUCUUCUUUUUUGUUAUUUCAAUUCUAUUAUAUUUAAUCAUAUGCUAUGAGUUUCUAUAAUUUUUUUUUAAAUUUUUACAAAUCAUAAAUCAUUUUUUUUUCUGUUAUGUAAAUUUUAUAUUCAAUGAUUUAUGUUUAAAAUUUUAAAAAUUAUUAUGUAAUUCUUAAAUAUAAAUUGUAGCAUUACAUUAUAAAUUGUUACUUAAAAUUUCAUCAUAAUAUAAUUUUUUUAUUAAUUCUAAUUAUACAAAAAAAAUUUAUAUGUUUUACAUUUUAUAUUUAGUUGAAAAUGAAUUAUCUGAGUAUUUAAUUUUUAAAUAAUCUUGAUUAUAUAAAAAAAUUAGUAAUAUUAUAUAUCAUAUUUAACUAUUUAUAUUUUAUUAAUUAUUCAUCUUCCUUUAUAAUUUCUCAACAAAAAUUAAUUAACUCCAUCUUUUCUUUAGAGAUGUUUAUGAUACAAAGAUUACUUAUAUAAAAGUGUCUUCUCACUUGAAAAAUUAGCUGACAUGUUAUAUUUCAAUUCUUGUCUAAUAUAAAAUAUAAUUUAAUUGAUAAUAAAAAAGUAAUAAAAUUUAUUAAUUUAUUGUAUUAUUAAAAGUAUUUGGAUUUAUCGCUUUUAAUUAAUAAUUUUAGAGUUGACAUUUGCCUAAAAAUGGAUUGAAGUUUGCUGAUCCGAAAAGCAGAUGAGGGACAGCAAACUCAUGUGCUUGGUAUCCUACGCCUAUGGUCAUAGCCCAUAGGCUAAUUGAUUCAUUUCUAGGCUUAAUGGGCUCUGUGAAAUGGGUGCGCAGCCUGCUGCAAAAAUCAUGUUACAAAAGUCAAGCCUCCUAAAAGUCAGCCAGUUUAAACCUGGCUAAAGGCCAACCAUCUCUGUGAGCUGGUUUUAAAAUGUUAAUUAAUUAAUUGUACAGUAUCCUUAAAUCCAAUUAAUUUUCAACUUGAAUGGAUUUGGAAUUUAGAUUAAUUUAAACUUAGAACUAUUUAGACGAUCUACGAUAACCUAAGUCAAAUCUACUUAAAAUCUGAAUUAACCUCAUGAACUUCAAAUAUCUAGCAAAAUCAAUCUUAAAAAAUCCGAACAAUUUGCUCAAAUCUCACUUAAACUUCAAACAAUUUCUUUUCUGAUCACUUUCAGAACAUUAUGCAUUCCAAUUAUAUGCGUUUCACAUAGUAGCAAACACUUGAUUGUCAAUAAAGUAAAUGAGAAGUGGUUAGGAGACUUAAGGGUCAAUGGCUCACAAAAUAUUGUUCAAUGGAAGAUUUGGUAAAUAAAUAGCAUAUAUAAUUUAUAUAAAUUUUUAAUAGAUACAAGUCUUAAUUAAUGGGCUUAUAUUUAAUGUACUAACAAUGUAUAAUUUUUAUACAUAAGACAUAAAAUCAUAUCAUCUCAUUAAAAAAUAAAUUCAAAAUUUUAAGGGAUUCAAAAAUAAAUAUUAUUAAGUUUUUUAAAAAAAUUAAAAAAAUCAAUAAUUUUUUUAUCUCUCUAACUCUCUCUUAUUCAAUCUCUUUCUCUUUUUCCCUCAACAACAAUAGAUUCAAAAUCUGAAUUUUUUUUUUUGAAAAGUAAAAUUCUGAAUUCUGAAUUUUGAUUUUUCAAAGUAAUGUUUAUUGUACUUUUUUUCUUAAUUUAAUUCUUAAUAUUUGUUUCACUCCUUUGUUUGAAAUUACUUUGAAAAAAUGAUAACAAUAAUAAGGUAAAAUUUUUGAUUUGUUCAGCAAUGUCUGAUUUGCCUUGGAGUAAGUAGAAUGAAAUGAAUAAAGCAAUUGGAAAAGGUGGAAAGCAAAACAUCAACUCUAAAAAAUAUUACUGCAUUCUGAGAAUAUAAAUGCAACAGGUCUCAAUCUGCAUAGCAACGUGCAGUACACAAAAAAUUUGUAAAACUCAAGCUUUUUUCAAUACCUAGCAAGUCCACAAAUUCUAGGUUCGUUGGAGAUUGAACAGGACGAAGCAAAAAUCUAUCGAAUACAACUUCUUUUAGAUUUAUGAAUAAAUGAACCCAAAAAACAACCCUGAAUAAAAAUUUGUAAAUAAAAAUUUAUUUAUUUUUUAUCGCGUAAGUCCCACAAGAUUAUCACAUUAAAACUUGAAAACGAUAUCUUCACAGUGUGAGUGUCAAAAGUGUUCGAAAAGCCUUUUUGCUAAUCAAAUAAAAAUGAUAAAUAAACAAUAAUAAUAUAUAAAAAAUGGUAAACUAAGAAGAAGAUUGAAAUAAAUAUUAAAUCAAAAUUAAGAUUUUAAAAUUAUGAAAUUAUAACAUCAAAGAAAGAACAAGAGAAAAAGAAGAGAUAGGGUGAAAUGGAGCUGGAGAAGAAAAUUUUUUUUAAUUUUUUAAAAUAAUAACAUUUAUUUUUAAGUCUCUUAAAAUUUUAGAUUUAUUUUUUUAGUGAAAUGGUACCAUUUGAUACCCUAACAAUGUAUUAGAGUUAUAAUACUAUCAAAUAUAAAUUACAAUAAAAUACUUCAAUAUGGUUCUUGUUGAUCGUCAACGUGAAAAGUUGUCAUGAAAGUCAGGUUUUAUAAUCUGUUUGGUUGAAAUUUAUAUUAAGAAUAAGCUUCAGGUCAAAAAGGCUUGAUAAGUCGUCACCUAAUCCUUCAAAAGAAAAAAAAUAAAAGUCAUUCCCGAAGGUACACGUCUCUUUUCACCUCCUAUGCACGUAAUCUCUUUGCGCUAUAAAUAAAGGACAGGCUUGACAAAGUGGUCACCCAAUCCUUCAAAAGAAAAAUAAAAUAAAAGGCCAUCCCCAAAGGUUCGCAUCGUUUUUAACCUCCUAUGCAAGCAAUCUCCUUACGGUAUAAAUAAAGGAACUCAAUAAACUCAUAUGCACAAAAUUAGCUUUAGAAAAAUGAAGUCUCUCCACCUUUUAGUAUUUCCAUUUCUUUUCGCUGCUCUCUUCUCAUUGUCAUGGGCAACUUCGGCUCAUACUCAUGAGCGUUUUCUUCAUUGUCUUUUCCUUCGUUCCGAGAACUCUUCUUUCAUUUCUAAAAUCAUCUACACACAAAAUAAUUCUUCCUAUUCCUCUAUUUUGAAAUUUUUUAUGUAUAAUCUCAGGUUCUCCACGUCAACUAUCCUCAAACGUCAAGUCAUUAUAACACCAUUUCAUACAUCCCAUGUUCAAGCAACAAUUUACUGUUUUAAAAAACAUGGACUCCAAAUUAGAAUUCGAAGUGGUGGUCAUGAUUUAGAAGGUCUUUCUUAUGUCUCUGAAGUUCCAUUUGUCAUAAUGAUUUUGAUUAAUUUUCGAUCAGUUGACAUUGAUGUGGAAAACAAAAUUGCAUGGGUUCAAUCUGGUGCAGUUCUUGGUGAGCUAUAUUACAGAAUUGUUGAAAAAAAGUAAAACUCUUGCCUUCCCAGCUGGUAAUUGUCACACUGUGGGUGUUGGUGGAUAUUUUAGCGGAGGAGGUUAUGGCUUAUUAUUUCGAAAAUAUGGUCUUGCCGCUGAUAACAUAAUUGAUGCCCAAUUCAUUGACGUUAAUGGACGAAUUCUUGACAGAAAAGCCAUGGGAGAAGAUUUGUUUUGGGCCAUUCGAGGAGGUGGAGGGGGUAGCUUUGGCAUUGUCAUCGCAUGGAAAUUAAAGUUGGUUCCUGUUCCAGCACUGUGACUGUUUUCACCAUUAACGGAACAUCAGAACAAAAUGCAAUCAAACUUGUCCACCGUUGGCAAUAUAUUGCACACAAGCUUCCUGACGGAACAUUCUCCUUCGUUGCUUUAAGAAGUGUGAAUUCUAGUCAAGAUGGGAAAAAGACGAUUUUAGCUUCCUUCAGGUUAUUCUUUCUCGCUGGCAUUGAUGAGCUUGUUCCAUUGAUGCAAGAGACAUUUCCAGAGCAUGGACUAGUAAGGGAAGACUGCACUGAAAUGAGUUGGAUUGAAUCUAUUCUCUACUUCGGUCAAAUUCAAAAUAAAUCCUUGGAUAUUUUACUUGAUAGGACUCUACAAAGUCCUCUCAUUAGUCCAGUCUUCAAAGCAAAAUCUGACUAUGUAAAGGAACCUGUUCCUAAAAUUGCGUUAGAAGGGCUAUCGUCAAAGCUUCAUGAGGAAGAAGCAAAAUCUGCCGGUAUACUUUUUGUGGCUUAUGGGGGGAUAAUGGAUGAGAUUCCAGAGACUGCAACUCCAUUUCCGCAUAGAGCUGGCAACUUAUACAAAAUCGCAUAUACCGUAGGUUGGCAAAAAGAAGACAACAAAAAUUCCCAGAAGUACAUAAGUUGGAUUAGGAGAGUUUACAGCUAUAUGAGCUCCUUUGUUUCACAAUCACCACGAGAGGCAUACAUCAAUUAUAGAGAUCUUGACAUUGGAAUUAACAGUAAAGGUAACACCAGUUAUGCACAAGCGAGCAUUUGGGGUUAUAAAUAUUUAAGGAAUAACUUUGAUAAGUUGGUGAGGGUGAAGACAAUGAUUGAUCCAGAAAAUUUCUUUAGACACGAACAAAGCAUCCCUCCGCUUUUGUUUGUGUGGAAGAAAAGAGGCAAUUAGAGUAUAUAUAAUUUUGGUAAAGCAUCCUCGAGUAUUUGGUUUAUUGGUUGGUGCAUUAUCUUCUUGUCUAAAGAGUAGGGUUCGAAUCCUCUCUUCUUCAAUUAUAUAAAAAAAAUAUAUAACCUUGGUGGACACUGAUACUCAAAAAGCAUACAAUAAAUGAUUUUGAUGGAAAUUAUAAUGCUAGAUAAAAUGUUUGAUUAGUUCUUUGUUACCAUUUCUGGCUGGCAUAAUGCAUGAGUGGUAUGCAUAGCCUAAUAAAUAACAUACCAUUAAUUACCUUUGGUUGAAACAAGUUACUGCGUGUUGACAAUAAUAAAUUUUAGCCUUUCUUUCUCCAGAUUUUAUUAUUAGAUACAA
This 53440-nucleotide long non-coding RNA is filed under the name Theobroma cacao (cacao). Its description in RNAcentral is "long non-coding RNA (TCAC_LNC002119)". Lineage: Eukaryota; Viridiplantae; Streptophyta; Magnoliopsida; Malvales; Malvaceae. The record is from RNAcentral.